AGCUUUGUGUUGAAAGGUAUAUGUUCACAAUGUAUUCCGGAUGCUCUUAUCAUAGGAUUUUAUCCUUCGGGAAUGUGUUCAAAGCAUAUAUUGGGUAUUAAAAUGUUAUGACUUCAAGUCAUGUUUCAAGUGAAGGCUAUUAUGCCAAAUUGUGUAAGAAAUCUCAAGGUACUUAAGACUCUUAAUUGCUCAUAUGUGUACUAAAUAUCGGGAUUAAAGAUUCUUUGUUGUCAAUAAUCUAUAAAGAUGCUUGAAAGUAGAAGUAGUGAGUAGUUGAUAUAAAGUGUGGACAGCGUGCAAAUAAUGAAAGUUAUACUUGUGGCUAAUAGCGUCAAUGAAAUGAAAUUAUGUGUGAAAGAUUAUGAAAUGAGCCCUGGUUCAAUUAUUCCAAAUUGACUCCGAAAAUAGAAUUGUCCAAAAGCUUAUGUACUCAAGUCAUGUCCAAAUGUGGUUGUUCUAACUAAUGUUAUGCUUGGUAGGUAUUUCUAAUAUGUUGUGAGUUCUUACAUAUUCAAGAGUUGAAAUUGUGUAUUGCCCUUUUGGGGGAGAGGUAUUUCAAGAGUAUUCUAUAGGAUGAUGUUUAUGAUGACAAUCCUUAAAGAAAAGAAAUGAAAGUGUGGAAUAUGAUAUGCGGCCACAGUGCCAUGAAUGAAGAAUAAUAAGUAUGGCCAAGGGAGCCAAUGAAAUAAUGAUGUUUAAGUAGUUGAAAAUACUAAUGAAGUGAUAUAUGGUGUGAAAAUGUUAUGAGAUGAACGUAUUCGUAUUUGUGUUUCCAAUGUGCUAUAAGCUCCUACGCCCUCAUGAGGAGAGGCUUAGGUGUACCUACAUAUUUUAAAUGUUCUUGAUGCCCUGUGAUCAUCCAUGGCAAGUGCAAGUAAGUGAUAGUAUGAACAUGGAAUGUGGCCGUUUUUCAAAAUGAGAAUUAUGAGGUGUUGUAUGUCCCAAUGGCUUCAAUCAUAGUAUGUAUGCUUCUAAAAUAAUAAAUGUAAAUGACUUCGAUGUUAAGUCCCAAAAAAUCAUGAACUUAGCUAAUGAUCUCAAGAUGACAAGUGAGUGAAUAACGAGAUAAAAGGGAGAUGUCCUAUGCUAAAUGGUGAUGAAUCUUGUGAAAAUGAGUUUGGGCCAUGUGCCAUUGAAAUUAACUAAUAUAAUGANNNNNNNNNNNAUGUAUUGUAUAGGUGUUACUGUGAACAGUCUAUGAAACCCACAUAUGUAUUGUAUAGGUGAUACUGUGAACGGUCUAUGGAAUGCACAUGUGUAUUGUAUAUAUGAUACUGUGAACUAUCUAUGAAACGCACAUGUGUAUCGUGUAAGUAAACACUGUGAACGGUCAAUGAAACGCACAUGUGUAUUGUAUAGGUGAUACUGUGAACGGUCUAUGAAACGCACAUGUAUAUUGUAUAGGUGAUACUGUGAACGGUCUAUGAAACGCACAUGUGUAUUGUAUAGGUGAUACUGUGAACGGACUAUGAAAUGCACAGGUGUAUUGUAUAAGUAAACACUGUGAAUGGUCUAUAAAAUACACAAUUGUAUUGUGUAAGUAAACAAUGUGAACGGUUUAUGAAACGCACAAGUGAAAUGUAUAGGUGUAAGAUAAGAAAGGGAUAUAGACAGUCUAGUGAGACACAUUGUUAACGCAGACAUUAGGUGCCACUUUCAUUGGCCUUAUUUGUACAUAUUGUUUUAAUUACUUUAUAUUAUGUAUUCCACGCAUAGUUCAUAUGGCUCAGUUAAUCCUAAACGAAGUUUAAAAUGAUGUAAGCAUAACUAGACUUGAAAUGUGAAUCUAUGGGAUAUUUCAUAGUUCUUGAUGUACUUUGUAUACCUCUUAUUUGAAUUACCAUGAUUUCAUAUGUUAUUCUGUUUGCCUUACAUGCGAGUACUAUUCCACAUGUACUCACGUCCCUUUUGCCAGAGGUGCUAUAUCUUUUAAUGAAUGCAAGAAUACUUCUACAAGAUGAUAUGGAUCUUCUGCGCAGUAGAUUAUUGUGAGCCCGCUACAAUUCCAGUGGGUAUUCGAAUCUAGUUGGUUUUAUGUACUUAGGUGUCUAUUAUCAUAUAAGCUCCAUGUACACUGUGGGUCAUGUACUUAAGUUUUGAGUUUCAUCAUGUAUUUAUGUUUACAAUAUUUACAACUAUUUAUAAAGUUGUGUAACCAUCAUGAGAAAAAAUAAUGUAUAGGUCAUUGAGCCAAAUGCAUUCAAUAUGAAAGUCAAGAUCUAAUUACGUUUUGAUAAAUCAUGCAUGAGUAAUGAUGAGAAGUUGAUGUAAAGUAGGCUUGCUCGACCGGGUUUACUCGGUUGAGCGCUAGUCGCGCUCUCCGAGGUCGGGGCGUGACAAAGGAAUAAUGAAAAUAAAGCGACAAAUAAUUGCAACAACAAAGUAAUAGGGUAACAGAAGCGAAUGACACAACAUGUACCAAUAGAGAACGAGGAAUAAGAAAAUAAAAUAAUAGUACUAGUAUUACUGGUAAGAAUGUUAGUCAAUAUGUAUUACUGUAAAUAAUGAAAUAGUAAACUUUCUGAAACAGAAAAAACAGAAACAAAAAAUUAGCAAUAACAGAAUGUUGAAAUAACUUCGGAAUAAAUCGAGCCCACUGAAUGUACAGUGUAUCCUUAAAAAAAUUAUUCCCCUCAAGUACCCGAGGUGCUGGAAUAUUAUCCUCCCAGGAUAGAACGAUUUAACUCACCGGAGUGUUGGUACCAAAAAUGCCGAUGAAAUAGCGAACCACUCGAAGGCUGUAAAACACACUGAAGAUUUUGUGUAGAAGAAGAAGAAGAAGAAGAGCAAAAAAUUUCGUACGGAAUGAUUCUGGGAUUUAAAGCAUAUUUAUAGACUUUCUGGCACUGUUUCUGAAAGGUUAAACAGUCAUGGUUGUUGGAACAAACUGUUUGAAAUAUUACGGGAAAAUCGAUUUAAAAUAAUUCCGGAAAAAAAACGGACCGGACCGGACCGGGUCGCGUCGCGGGUCCUGGGUUAUUUCAGGUUCAAUUUUUGUUAAUUAAUUAAAUAAUUGAAAGAAAGUUUUUCCAAAAAUAUUAAUCAAUCAAUCGAUCUUUAACCAAAUUCGUAUCUAAAUCCGAAUCUGAAUCUGAAGUCGAGUCGAGCGACGACGACGCGAGACUUACUUUCUUUCCAACCCUAACACCAAGAGAAGUGUUUUCUCAAUAUAAGCACAUUCACUUUUCUUUCCACCACCAAUGAUGGACACUUUGCUCCUUCCAAAGCAAAACAGAGCUCACUUUCCCUCCACUUUCUUUCCUCCAUUUCCCAUUCACCAAUCUUUAAUCCCAACAAUCCCCCACAUGAAUGUGAAAUGGCUAUAAGACAAAGGAAUGCACAGACGAGUGUGUGUUUUACAUGCAAGGAUUAAUUGCAUCUGGAUAAGUAGGUUUCCCUUUGAACUUUCCGUAGUGAACUUAUAUCGGAUAUACUCGGUCAAUCGGUAGAUUUGAUAUCUUUGAACCGUCGAUAUUUGUUAUAUACCUAGACAACAUAAGUCAUACAAUCAACCCUUAACCAUCUAUGGUUCUCACGGUUGUGUUCGUUUCAGCCAUGAACACCGCCCAGUUUUAUGAGUGCUUAGAGAAUGAGCCUUUACUUUUAUUCCCCUUGAAGUGGCUUACAAUUCACACUCACAUAGGUGAUUCUAAACUUGUAAUCAUAUAGACACACCAUCUGGUCAUAUCCUACCAGACUUAGCAAAUCAUUAAAAAGCUUUAAGCUUUAUUGACUCAUCAAAAAGCCUUAAUAUUUUACCUCGAUUUCUGAACAUUGUCUUCAUCACGAUAAUGGGUUGAGUUAUUUGACAAUGUUGAACCAUCAUUCAUAACUUUAUUUGAUCUCUUUGAACCUAGCUCUUGGGAUCUCCAGUCUGCUAGGUAGAGUUAUCGCCAUGAUGACUUGUCCUAGGCCUUAACCUCAUUCCCUUUGAUGAUCUUUCAACUGCCUCUCUAGAUAGGCCUUUUGUAAGUGGAUCCGAUACAUUAUCUCUUGACUUUACGUCGUCAAUCAUGAUAACACCACUAGAGAGUAGUUGUCUAACAGUAUUGUGUCUCCGUCAUAUAUGACGAUAUUUUUCGUUAUACAAAACGCUCCCCGCCCUGCAUAUUUCCUAUUGAAUAUCACAAUGUAUACAUAUUGGUGCCAAAGGUUUGGGCCAAAAUGGAAUAUCUUCCAAGAAAUUCUGGAGCCAUUCAGAUUCUUCACCGGCCUUAUCUAAAGCUAUGAAUUCAUAUUCCAUUGUAGAAUGGGCGAUGCACGUUUGUUUGGAUGAUUUCCAAGACACUGCUCCAUCCCUAAUUGUGAAAACAUAUCCACUCAUGGAUUUAACUUCAGAUAAUUCAGUGAUCCAAUUUGCAUCACUAUAUCCCUCGAUCACGGAGGGAUAUUUGUUAUAAUACAAAGGGUAAUUUUGGGUAUGUUUCAUAUAUCCCAAAACUCGUUUCAUGGCCAUCCAAUGUAUUUGAUUGGGAUUACUUAUAAACCGACUCAGUUUACUAAUAACACAUGCUAUAUCUGGUCGCGUACAAUUCAUGAUAUAAAUUAAACUUUCCAAUACUCUUGCAUAGUCCAGUUGUGAGUCACUUUCACCUUCAUUCUUUUGAAGUGCAUAACUCACGUCAAUUGGAGUCUUGGCAAUUAUGAAAUUCAAAUACUUGAACUUGUCAAGCAUCUUUUCAAUAUAGUGUGACAGCGUGACUAUGAUAAUGCCAGACCUUGUGGAGUCUUGUNNNNNNNNNNNNNNNNNNNNAUGCGCUUAGUAGCAUUUAUAUAUGCUAUAUUUUUAUUCAUUAUCAAUAUGUCAUCAACAUAUAAACAAACAAUGACUUCAUGUCCUGAAGUAUUUUUAAUGUAAACACAUUUGUCACACUCGUUGAUUUUAACCCCAUUUGCCAACAUUGUUUGGUCAAAUUUGGCAUGCCAUUGUUUGUGUGUUUGUUUAAGUCCAUAAAGUGACUUAACAAGUUUUCACACUUUUUUUUCUUUACCCGGAACCACAAAACCCUUAGGUUGUUUCAUGUAAAUCUCUUCCUCCAAUUUUCCAUUUAAGAAAGCUAUUUUAACAUCCAUUUGAUGGAUUUCAAGACCAUACACGGACGCCAGUGCCACUAACACCCUAAUAGAUGUUAUCCUCGUUACUGGCGAGUAAGUGUCAAAGUAAUAAAGGCCUUCCUUUUGUCUAUAACCUUUGACAACAAGUCUUGCCUUAUAUUUGUCAAUAGUGCCAUCAACUUUCAUUUUCCGUUUAAAGAUCCAUUCGAACCUAAAGGCUUAUUUCAUGGAGGAAGGUCAACCAAUUCCCAUGUAUGGUUAUCUAAAAUUGAUUGAAUCUCACUAUUGAUUGUCUCUUUCCAAAAUGUUGAAUCAGAAGAUGACAUAGUUGCUUUAAAAGUUUGAGGCUCAUUUUCAAGAAAGAAUGUCACAAAAUCUGGUCCAAAGGAAAUAGAUGUUCUUUGACGUUUGCUACGCCUUGGAUCUUCUUCACUUGGAAUAUUUUCCUUUGGUUCUUCCCGUGGUCGUUUAGGUCUUUCACUUAAUGACUCGCAUUCAGUUUUAUAUGGAUAGAUGCUUUCAAAAAAUUCAGCAUUAUCUGAUUCAAUUACCGUAUUAACAUGAAUUUCAGGAUUAUCAGAUUUAUGAACCAAAAAACAACAUGCUUUACUGUUUGUAGCAUAUCCAAUGAAAACGCAAUCCAUGAUUUUUGGUCUGAUUUUUACCUUUUUGGGUAAAGGUACUUGUACCUUUGCUAAACACCCCCACACUUUAAAAUAUUUUAAGUUGGGUUUUCUUCCUUUCCAUUUUUCAUAUGAAAUCAAUUGCGUUUUGCUAUGGGGGGUACUCUCUUGAGUAUUCGGUUAGCUGUAAGGAUAGCUUCCCCCCACAAACUCUGCGGUAAUCCAGAACUUAUUAAUAAAGAAUUUAUUAUUUUCUUUAAUGUCCGAUUUUUCCUUUCCGCAAUUUCAUUUGAUUGAGGUGUGUAAGGGGCAGUAGUUUGAUGGAUAAUUCCAUAUUUCGAACAUAUUUUUGCAAACGGAGAUUCAUAUUCUCCACCCCUAUCACUUUUAAUCAUUUUGAUAUUUUUAUUCAAUUGAUUCUCCACUUCAUUCUUGUAUUACUUAAAUGUUUCAAUUGCUUCAUCCUUGCUAUUAAGCAAAUAAACAUAACAAUAGCGAGUGCAAUCGUCAAUAAAAGUAAUAAAAUACUUUUUCCCACCUCGAGAUGGUGUCGACUUCAUAUCACAAAUGUCAGUAUGAAUUAAGUCUAAAGGAUUUGAAUUCCUUUCAACAGACCUAUAAGGAUGUUUUAAAAAUUUAGAUUCAACACAUAUUUGACAUUUUAAUUUAUUACACUCGAAUUUAGGCAAUACUUCUAAAUUAAUUAACUUCCGCAAGGUUUUAUAAUUGACAUGUCCUAAUCGAAUAUGCCAUCAAUCAUUUGACUCCAAUAAAUAAGAAGAAGCUGAAAUUUUAUUCAUGCUGUCAACAACCAUUACAUUGAGUUUGAAAAGGCCCUCCAUGAGGUAGCCCUUUCCAACAUAUAUUUCAUUCUUACUUACAACAACUUUGUCAGAAAUAAAUACACAUUUGAAUUCAUUCUUAACAAGUAAAAAAGUAGAAACUAAAUUCUUCCUAAUAGUAGGAACAUGAAGAACGUUGUUGAGCAUUAACACCUUGACGAAAGUCAUCUUCAGGAAUAUCUUCCCAUAACCUUCAAUCUUGGUUGUUGCAGUAUUUUCCAUGGAAAACUCUUCUUCGGGACCAGCAGUAGAGUAAGUCAGAAAUGCUUCUUUGACAGCACAAACAUGUCGAGUGGCUCCAGAGUCAAUCCACCACUCCUUCAGAUUUCCAACUAGGUUGCAUUCCGAAAGCGUUGCACACAGAUCAUCAGUGUCAUCAUUCUUCUCCACUAUGUUGACUUGUCCCUUCUUCUUAUCCUUUUUCGAGAGACGACAAUCAGGGGCUUUGUGACCAGCUUUUCUACAAUUGUAGCAGUUGCCCUUGAAUUUCUUUUUGUUCUGCUCCUUAGUCUGUCCAGAAGAUCUCUUUCUCUUCUUACUUUUUGGAGCAGUCUCCUCAACAAUAUUAGCUCCCAUGAUCGUUGAAUUUCCACGAGACUUCUUCUUUACUGUUUUGUUGUCUUCCUCAAUCUUGAGAUGAAUCACAAGAUCUUCCAAUUUCAUUUCUUUACGCUUGUGCUUAAGAUAGUUUUUAAAAUCUCUCCACGAAGGAGGCAAUUUUUCAAUCAUUGCAGCCACUUGAAAUGCUUUAUUCAUGACCAUAACUUCAACAAUAAGUUCAUGAAAAAUAAGUUGAAUUUCUUGAACUUGGGUUCCAACAGUUUUGCUGUCUAUCAUUUUAUAGUCUAGAAACUUGGCAACCACAAACUUCUUCAAGCAUGCAUCUUCAGUCUUGUACUUCUUCUCAAGUGCGUCCCAUAAUUAUUUCGAAGUUUUCACAGCAAUGUAGACAUUGUACAAGUCAUCCUCCAAAGCACUUAGGAUGUAGCCUUUGCAAAGAAAGUCUCCCUGUUUUCACGUCUCAACAAUCAUAAACUUCUUAUUGUCUGGCAUGUAGUCGGCAGGCACUGGAGGGUUUUCACUGGUGAACUUCUACAUACCAAGUGUGGUAAGCCAGAAAAAUACCCUUUGUUGCCAUCCUUUGAAGUUGGUUCUAGAAAAUUUCCCCGGUUUCUCGGCCGGUGGAACAACAGUUCGGCUUGACGAGGCUAUCAUCGUUGUCGCAACAGUUGGAGAAGAAUUUCCAUUAUCAAUUGCUAUUUCUCAUUGUUAACAACAGAAGAGUUCAAUUAAUGACAAAAAACAGAAUAGUAAACAGUAUUGUAAUAAACGAUAAACAAUACGUUUAAUAAAUAAAAAUCGAAGUUUUUUUAUAUAUUGUUUUACAGUAAUCGAUGAAGUUUUUGAUGUUCUUCAAAUCGUUUCUGAAUUUUAAUACUCCGAUGAAAUUUUUAUAUCUUCAAAUCAGAAUAGAAAAAAACAGAUGGAGUAGAAAACCACACAUAUUUUAAUCUCCAAAAAACAGAAUACAGAAUAUAAUAAAAUAAUUUUCUUAAGGUUGUUUGUCAAUAUGUAUUACUGUAAAUAAUGAAACAGUAAACUUUCUGAAACAGGAAAAAUAUAAAUAGAAAAUUAGCAAUAAUAUAAUGUCGAAAUAAUUUCUCGAAAAAUAAUUUCGGAAUAAAUCGAGUCCAUUGAAUGCACAGUGUAUCCUUGAGGAAAUUAUUCUCCUCAAGUACCCGAGGUGCUGGAAUAUUAUCCUCCCAGGAUAGAACGAUUUAACUCACUGAAGUGUUGAUACCAAAAACACCGAUAAAACAGCGAACCACUAGAAAGCUGUAAAACGCACUGAAGAUUUUGUGCAGAAGAAGAAGAAGAAGAAGAAGAGCAGAAAAAUUUGUAAGGAAAGAUUCUUGGAUUCAAAACAUAUUUAUAGACUUUCUAGUACUGCCUUUUCAGAAACAGCUAUGGCUGUCGGAACAGGUUAUUUGAAAUAUUGCGGAAAAGCGAAUUUAAAAUAAUCCAAAAAAGAAAACAGAUUGGACCGGAUCGCGUCGCGUCGCGGGUCCUGGGUUAUUUCAGGUUGAUUUUCGUUAAUUAAUUAAAUAAUUGAAAGAAAUUUUGUCCAAAAAAAUUAAUCAAUCAAUCUUUGACCAAAUCCGAAUCCGAGCGAGCGAGCGACGCGAGACUUACUUUCUUACGAGCCCAUUUAACACCAAGAGAAGUGCUUUCUCAAUAUAAGCACAUUCACUUUUCUUUCCACCACCAAUGAAGGACACUUUGCUCUUUCCAAAGUAAAAGGGAGCUCACUUUCCCUCCGCUUUCUUCCCUCUAUUUUCCAUUCACCGAUCUUUAAUCCCAACAAAGCCUAGGAGAGACUCGCGACUAUAUGUCAACCUUCAACCCUAAUACUCGUCCUCCACACCUCCUUAUCGAGGUCAUAUCCUCAGUAAGCUGAAGCAAUAACAUAUCCUGCAUAAUUACCUCACACCAGUACUUCUUUGGACUACCCCUACCCUUUCUCAGACCGGCAGUGGUCUAUCUCUCACACCUUCUAAUCGGGCAGCUAUGCCUCGCCUCUUCAUAUGACCGAAUCAUCUCAGCCUCGAUUCCCGCUACUUGUCCUCCACAAGGGUCACUCCCACAAUGUCCCUAAGAACUUCGUUCCAAAUCUUAUCUUUCCUAGUAUGCCCAUACAUCCAUCUCAACAUCCUCAUUUCAACUACUUUCAUCUUCUGGAUGGGGACUUCUUGACGGGUCAACACUUGGCCCCAUACAACAUAGUCGGCUAAACCACCAGCAUGUAGAACUUGUCCUUAAGGCUUGAUUACACAUUCUUAUCACACAAAAUCCCAGAUGCGAGCCUCCAUUUCAUCCACCCCGCUCCAAUACGAUAUGCAACAUGCUCGUUAAUCUCCUCGUUGCCUUAUAUUACAGACCCAAAGUAUUUGAAACUAUCUCUCGUGAGAAUGACUUGUGUGUCAAUCUUCACUUCCACUUGUGCUUCGUGCGUCCCCUCAAUGUUAAAUCAUAUUGGUAAUAUUUUAUUAGGAUUAUCUAAGAAAUGUUAGGGAAAAUGCCGGCUAAGGGUAAAAAUAUUUGACUCAUCAAAAGUAGUAAUAGCCUCCUAUAAAAUGAAAAUAUAGAGCUAAAAUAAGUGUAGUUAUCUUAAUAUGAACGUUAUUUGUUAAUUUCAAUAGCUUAUUUCACCCACUUACGAAUUCAACUGAUUUAAGUGACCCAAGUAUAUACGGAAGUGUACUAACUUUAAUCUUUUGAUCAUUUCUCAUUUGUAUAGAUUACAAAGAUAAAUAUAAAAAAACAGAAUCAUGAGCUAAUUUAUUAUGAAAAGCUUUAUAAAUGGUUUAAAAGAAUUUGGAUGCAAGUAUCUUAGUGAACUUAAUUAGUAUUUUAUAGAACCAAUAAUUUUCUUGUUCCUAAUCAUAGUCAUUACGAUUAUCAAAUACUUUAAUAUUUACGGGCUAAAGCGUGAUGGAAAGAGAAAAUGGAGAAAAAAAAAGUGCCAAAGUCUUUGGGAAAGACCAAAAUACGUAGUACAAAUUUAAACAGAAAAAAACAAAAAUCAGAAGCGAAAAAGAAAAUGAGGCGAACGUGGAUCGAUCACGUGACCUUCAGAUCUUAGGUCUGACGCUCUCCCAACUGAGCUAUUCCCGCUAUUUAUUCUAUGCAAGUUCUGUCUUUAAUAUGUCAUUUGAAUGUUGUUAUAUUGUUUUAGCUACAUCAAUUCUAAAUUCUCUAGAGUGCAACAUACGGGUUCACGAGAACCCAGUAACUUUUAUUCAUACGCUACUUGUAUAUUAAGAAAUUUAUCAAAUAUUAAUAAAUAUUUGACCGUAAAUCUAGUUAUUAUUUAAAAUUUACUUGAAUUCGACGGAACUCAUAAACUUCAAACUGUGAACCCAAUAAUUUUUGCUCAGACUCUAUUUGUAUAUUAAGAAGUUCACCAAAUAUUAACAAAUAUUUGACCGUGAUACCCAAUUAUUAUUAUAAAUUUACUUGAAGUCGAUAUAAGAUCUCAGGUUCAAAUCCAUUAUUCGAUUCUUCAUGUCAUGCUAGUUUUUCUAUAAAUGCUUUAGUACGUGGUGGCCCGAACUAAGCAUCAGAUACCUGCAAUCAUCAAUAAAAUGGAAGUAGUAAUUUUGUACAUUACUACUCGACAUGGCAAGAACAUGUUGAAAGCCUACUUCAACUUUUAAAGUAGUCUUCCUUUUUGCCCUAGAAAGGUAAAGCAAUGGUAUAAUUGGAAAAUUCUUCCUAUUAUAUCCCCCUCAUCUACUUUGCUAUAUCUUGCACCUUCUCUUGGACACCUCCAAGGCUUAAAAUAAUUCUUACUACAUGUGAAAAGACAGAUUCAGAAUUUAAAAUUUAUGAGUUCCUAUAUCGAUUUUAAUUUAAUAUAAAAUAAUAACUAGAUUCACAAUUAAAUAUUUAUAGAUAUUUAGUGAAUUUUUUAAUAUAAAUACAGAAUUUAGACAGAAGUUAAUGGAGUUACGUGCAAUGAUGGAUCUAUAUUGUGAGCUUUUUGAGCCAAAUAUCAAUACUUAUAUAGAAAAAUUAGUAAUUCAUAUAAAUAUAUUAAUUGAGCACUCAGGCUGGUUCGCUUAAAGAAAAUCUUUUCUAUGAUCAGGUCCGAAUCACCUUAAUAUCCAUAGAAAAAAGUUGCUAGGCAUUUUUAAUCUCAAAAUCUAAAUUAAAAAUAUUUGAGCACCCAUAACUAAAAAAUCAUGGAUCCGUCACCGUUUACGUGUACCCAUAGGUUUAAAACUAGUUCCGCCUUUGCUUAUAGAGGAUUUCUUUUCUUUCUUUUUUUCUUCAAGCAUCCGAUAUUCUUGAGUCAUCACUAACUAACUCGACUAGUUUAGAUUAACGUACAACAAGUAAAGCAAAUUAUAAGUCUUCUUCCUGUUUUUGUUUUGUUCUUUCUAGUGGCCUUGGCUAGAAAAAGAUCACAUUGAACUUGGACUUACAGUACCAUGAUAUGGUACUAAGUUAAGUGUUCUUAUUUCAAAUAGAAAGCUUAUUUGGUAAAUUAAAUGCUUAUUUUACUCAUAUAUAUUUUAAAAAGUCCAUUACACAUGUUUGUAUGAGCUAAAAAUUUCCCUAGUUAUGUGUGGGCCAAGUCAAUAUUAAGAGAGCCUUCGAAGGCUGCCACGCGUCAUCAAUGUAUUUUCAACAAAUGACGAAGAUGAGGUUGAGUUGACUCACCAGAGGGACAAGGACGACCACUUCCUUUAGAAUGGCAGUAAUGACUAAUUUUAGAGACAUUAUAGAAGAAUAUUUUAAGGGAUAUUCUUCUUAUCUGUACUAUUAGGUAAAUAGAAAGAUGUGUAGUUACAGCGGUGAUGAGAUACUCAUUGUAAGAAACAACACAUUGACAUUCUCUGAAAAUUUUUGUUUUAUUACAUACAUACACAAUAUACCUUUUCUUCAGAUCUGUACCCAACUUUUCUCCCACGAUCCAAGAAGAAUCCGAAUAUUCAAAGGUUCAUCAAUCAUUUAUCAUUGUCGGGGGAAUGUCAAAGAAUCCCAUCCCUUUUCUGUUAACUCACUUGGACUUCUUUACAUAAAUGCCAUUAUAUAUCAUUUAUUACUAUUUAAUGUCAUUCUCUUUGUUCUUAUUGAAUAUUAUUGACCGUUGCAUAUUUAUUGCUAUUUGAACGGAACUUGUGACAUUUUGCUACGUAGUCAGUUGAACGACCUUUUGUAUAUUAAUAUUGGCUAAGAUUAACUCUAUUCUAUUAGAAAAUAUAAUUGUUUAAAUCUAGAUCUAAAUUUUAGAUUAAAUAAUGUUGCUAUUUUAUUGCAUUUUGCAUUUGAAUAUUUUCAUGAUUGAAAAUAAAAGAUUAAGCUGCACAAUGUACCUCUUAAAAAUGGAAUAAACAUGAUGCAGUCUCAUAGAAAAAGCACAUUUAGUCAUGAUUCUAGUAAAAUCGUUCAAGUUGUCUUAAUUAGGUUAUAAGAUGAAUCAACAAAAAUAAUUAGAAUUAACUACUAAUUCCUUUUUCAACCUAAUUAAGCGACCUAAAUGUAUACUGUAUAGGGGUUAAAGUAUUUGAUUUCUCAUAUCAUAUUAGUCUUACUUUUUACGAUGAUAAAUAUAAAAAAAAAAUAGAAUUACGGGGUACGUUUAAUUCACUUAUGUUAUAAAUAAUUUUAUAUAGUGGCGGAUGAACCGCUUCGAUAGCAAGUUCAUUUGAGCUCAAUAUUUUUAAGAAUAACUAUUAUAGAUUACUUAUCAACUUUAAAUUUUAGUUCGGCCAUUGAUAUUAUAUGUUAUAACCGAUUAAAAAGUUUGGUCGAUGCGAGUACAAUUUUAAUUAAUUAUUUCUUGUUUCUAGUCAUGUUCAUAUCAAUUAUGAAAGAGUUGAGUAUCUACUAGGGCUGUUCAAAAUCAAACCGAACUGAUAGCUUAUUGGUUUAUUGGUAUCGGAUUAUCGGGGUAAUGGAUGGUGAACGGAUUGAGAUUUUGUAAUUAACGGCUUAACAAUUUGGGUGCGAAUUACUCAAUUUUCUUAUCGGGUAAACCGUUAACCCGUUAAGAAUUUUUAUAUUUACACUUUUACUCCUAUAUAUAUAAAGUACUAUUGAAACCCCUAUGUAUUUACACUUUGUUUGACCAAACAGGCUUGAUGCCGAUUUCUAUUUGCCAUAGUUACUUAAGAAUGCAUUACAUAUUAGAUGAAAAAUCUGUCAAGACUUGUAUCAGUUGGACUUCUUCCCUCACAGAACAAACGGAAGAGGAAUUCAAAGGGAAGGUUAUCAUUGAGGGGGUUAAAGUAUGAUGAUCCUUUCUCGGACAAUUCUUUGUCAUGCAACUUAGCAAGUGUGGACAGCCGGUUGUCAUUAUAUGUUCUAAUACCUUUUGUUAGAUGAACACGAGGAUGAUUGAUAAGUUUUGUGGAACUGAUCACUGAUCAUAUUGUAGUGCAAUGAACUAAAAGUACGUGACUGGAUUUUCUCGUUUUAUGUCCUUUUUUAAAAUCUGCUUUUCUGGAAGAACGAAUGCCCUUUUUGAGUAGUUCUAAAGAUUGUUCAAUUCAAAAAUACCGUUUGGUUAGAUCUUAGAUGGUAUUAAAAUUUUGGUAUUGAUUUAAAACUGUUUGGUAUUGAUUGAAUGAUUAUUCAAAAAAAUUACUAUUUGGUUUAGCCGAUAAGCCGUCAGAUAACCGCCCGAUAAUUGUUAAUCCGAUACAAAUCUGCCUGUUGUCUUAUUGGAUGGCUAGCAGAUUAUUAUAUUUAUAAUCCGAUAACCGUUAAGCCGAAUCGUUAAACGUAAUUAUCCGCAAUAAAUACCCCUAGUAUCUACCGAGUAGAGAGUGAUGGAAAGAGAAAAUGCAAAAAAAGGUCCCAAAGGCCAAGUGGCAAAGUCUAAACAGAUUAGAAUAGAGAAAAAAGCAAACAACGAAAAGCAAAAGAAUAUUGCGGUGAACGUGGAUCGAACACGUGACCUUCAGAUCUUCAGUCUGACGCUCUCCCAACUGAGCUAUCCCCGCUUUCUGCAAAUUUUAUAAACUAUUAACAUCAUUAUAGAAGAACAUUCACAAAAAUAUUUAUAUUAUCAGGUAAUAAAGUCGGUGAAUAUGAGGAGAUGCUCUACGCGAACUAAUCCACAUUGAAGUAAGUUAUGCAUGAAUUGUUUAUCCGGUGAUUAAAUAAUUAAAGAAUUAUUAUGCAAUAACUAAUAAUGAAGGUAUUAUUAUGCGAUAAUAAUGAAAAAAAUAUUUUUCAUGAGUUAAUUAUUCUAAAAGACAUUUAUGUCUUUAAAUGGUUUAAUCCCUUCGUUGUUGUUUUACGUAUCUUAUCCCAUAUAAAUUAAUACAUUAAAUCUAACAUAAUUUAAUGUAUGUAUUGUUUAAUAUCGCCAACCAUUUUUAUUUUGGGAUUAUUAUUCUUAUAUCCUAACGAAACAUUAUAUUAUCUCAUGCAAAAUUUAUUCUAGGAUUAGUUAUUCAUAUACAUUAUACUACAAACAAACGACCUUUAAAUGAAUAUCCUCCUAAUUGGUGUACGGGUAAAAUCGGGGGCAAUAUCUACCCCGAUUCCCCGCUGAGAGAAUGGAGGGGAGCACGGAUCUGCGAGAUUAUAAUCGAGGUCAGAGACCCUUCGUAUCGAUACCAUAUCCGACAUCGAAUAUGGUAAAGCGACGUGUCUCGGGCCAUAUAUAAGUUCUAGACCUCGAAAGACACGGUGAACGGUUGUGCAUGACGGAUAGAGGGUUGUGAUACUCGCCCUCAACCGGAUAUCACUAUGAGCACGUGAUUUUUGCCCGAUAAAAAUACUCCUACAAAAUCCACAAAAAUAAAUCUUUCUAAUUGUUUUUGAUUUCAUAGAAUUUUAGGAAUUCCUUUUUAAUUGUUUGUUUGCAUGUAGUUGUAUUUUUGUGCAUAUUUAAUAUUUUAAAACCAUAAAAAAUAACAAAAAAUAUUUAAUUCUUCAUGGCAUGGCAUCUUAGGUUUAAUUGUAUUUUUAGAACUUAAUUGCAUUAGUAAAUGAAAAUCACAAAAAUACCAUAGUCAUGUUUACAUUUUAGCUUUCAGUUUUAAAUUAAUUAGGAUUAAGUUAAUUAAUUAUUUAAAUGUUAGAAAUAGAUAAUUAGGUUUGGCAAAUUAGACUUGAUUUAGGAAUUAAUUUAGGUUGUUAAUUAAUUUGAUCAGGAGUUGAAAUCAAAGAAAAAGAAAGGAAGGAAAGAAAGGAAUAUUUUGUUUAGUCAUAUGCGAAAUUGGGCCAAAAGCACAAUUCUAGUGGCCCAAGUACCCAAAGCCCCAUACUGCCAGACCCAAUUACCACCAAACCCAACCCCAUCCAGCCCCAUUAAACCCAAACGAUCCCUUUUUGAUCUCUUCGAAUUCUCACCGUUCAAGCACCAGAUCCAACGGUCCAGAACUCAACACCCUUUUAGAUUUAAUUGUCGGAACCCCUUCCUAACCCUAGAGACCCCAAAACUCAUCUCCCUCACCUCUCUCAUGCCCACCUUCCCCCGCCGCCGAAAAUCGCCCUACGACGGCGGUACCACUUCAAACUCCCUCAAACUCACACCCCAUACUCCUCCUCAUCCUCAAUCCAAAUCUACCAUCAAUUUUCCCAAAAGACCCACCAAAUCUUUCGAAUUUCAGAUCUAAGAAGUCAUAAAAACCUAAAUCCACCCCAUUUUGAGUUUUCCCAAAUUCCGGCCUACCUGAUGUUCAUACCAACGCUAAUUGAAUACUCUUGUUGAGAGUUAUCAAUUGGAGCUAGUUUUGGACCUAUUCUAGGCCACCCGAAUCCGGCCACUACCAUGGAACCCCCAUAAUGUUAAUUUUCUUUGCCGGUAUAUGGCGGACAUUAUCACAUAUAGCAUUGUCUACACCUUGAGUGUGGGCUAAUGCUCAUGUAAUGAUGCCGGUUGUUAGCCGGAUCUCUUUUUCGGGCAACCUUAUCGUCAAUGGGUAAUCCUUCUUUUUAUUUCUUUGAUUACUGCCCAUUUUAGGUUAGUGGAUUGACAUUUUUGUGUUAUAUGUUAUAGAUUAGGUUUAUUUCAACUUAACGGCAUAUUUUUUGUUUUGCUUCAACUCUUGUCAAAUUAAUCAAUUGAUAGUUAUUCUAUGGUUGCAUCAAUAUGUUGAUUGUUAGUAUAUCUUCUCGUAUGUUUAGCAUGUUCUAGAUUAGUUAGGAUUUCUAAUUCAUCAAUUCUGUGAUUAGGCCAAUGUUUUAAAAGCAUAGCAGUCAAUUUUAAUUAGGUUAAAAUGACUUUAAUUAGUUAAUUACAUGUUUGAAUUAGUUUAAUCACAUAAAAUAGGUUUAAGUUUGAAUAUUGCUUGUUGUGCUGUGAUUUUUAAUCCAUCUAUUUUUUUUAUGAUAGUUGUUUGUAAUUACUAAAAUACCAGGGGGGAAAAAGAAAUGAGAAAAUCAGGGAAUCUUAGUUUGGAAUUGCCUAGAAGGUUCUAGAAAAUGGGGCUAAAAUGCAAUAAAUAGAAGGAAUUAGGUCAUAUUUGGUUUAAAAGAGGUAAUUUUCAGAAGUUAAAAAGAGUGAAAAUGAGAAGAAACUUCUAGAAAGGGACAACUGUCCAAAUCUGUUAGAAAAGAUGAUGAAGUUGGAUACAUUUGUCCAUUUUCUGGUACAGAAAAUGCCAAUUUCCUGAAUUUUAGGGAAGGUUGGCAGAUUUCUUUUGGUCUAAUCCCAUUCCCUCAUAAGGCAUAGGAAUUUUUCUAUAAAAGUAACCUUUCUCCUCACAAUCUAGGAGGAGUUUUUCAAGGGCUGCACAUUCAUUCACUCAAAAAAGAUACGGCCUUUACACAAAAAUUCUUUAAAAUUCAGAAUUCCUCCUUUCGUUAAUUCACUAAUAUUUACAUUGAUUUAUGAAAAAUCCAUUGUCCUUCACUUUCAUUUUUAGUAAAGAAAAUUUCUGAAAAAUUAACUUUGGGAUUUCAGAAACAAAAAAAACAACAAAGGUUUUCAUUAGCUUGCUUCACUAUCGGAUAACUGUGUUUUUCAAGUUCUGGGUUUGAAGUUUGGUUGUGCUUCAUUUUCUGUGUUGGCUACUGUUUCAUUAAGCUGUAGCUGAUUCUAUUUUUAGCUGUGCUUCUCAAAUUCAGAGGUUUAUUUUCUUGUUGUUCUUUGCUGCUGCUGAGGUAUUACUCUUGAUCAAAUAGGGUAAACUUCAUUUUGUUUGAAUUAUGAAACUGUUUUCUACAGUAUGGUGACUGUGUUUGAUAUUUAUCAAAUUGUAUGUGUUGUUUAAUUAUUGUUGGAAUGUGGCUAUGAGCUAUGAGCUGAAUUAUUGCAAUGUGUCGUGUUAAACAAUGACUAAGAUCCGUUUAUUUGAAGUUAUCUAUAGACCUAUAUGAAAUUAAUCAUCUAUACAAUUUAUUCUUUAGCCAUGAAGUUUAUAGUUUGUUACCAGUUAGAAUUAGAGACUGUGAUAACCUACACUUGAUAAGGUGUUUGUUUAAGAUGUAAAACUUUACUAGUGAUGAUUUUGGAUUUGCAUGACCUUAAAAGCCUCGGUGAUGGAUGCACACAUAGCUCUAAUUCAGGUUUCAAUUGCUAAUGAGUUUGGCUAAACAAGUAGAUAUUAAAUCAUAAGAAGGAAACACCAAAAGUGUUUAGAUACUCCAGUGCAAGUGGUGUGUUGAUUUCAUCCUAAAGCUCUUAUCUAGUUCAAUUGUCAUGGUUGCUCUGUUUUCCGGAUCUAUGUAGUCAUUCAUGAAUUGUAAUUAGAGUAAUUGAAACUGUGAUUUUGUAAUUCUUUAAUACUGCAAAUGGGUAUUGUUUCUUUUUAGGCUUGUAUAAUUGUGUAUUGAAUAUGAUUUAAGGUUAGUUAUCUUUUAUUGGGCCUGGUGUGGGCCAAUUUUAUAAAAGAAUGUUUGGCCAAGGGAAGAAAUCAUGUUUCCAGUUGGUUAUUGGAGUUUUAUUAUUCACUUGGGCUCAAUUUUGAGCCUAGUGUUAUGUGUUGAUGCUUUUUAAAAAGGAAUUAGCACAUCUGGGCUUCACCUAAAAAUUCACAUGCAAUUUGCUUAGCCCAUUAGAGGUUCUUCCCCAAUGUCUAAUGAAAUUGAGCCCAAAUUUGUUUAAUUUCCCAUAGAUCACGACUUUACCAAUAAUCUCAAAUUAGAAAAGGGAAUAAAUCACAAAUAUUCGAGGAAAUGCUUUAGGCGCGUUCUUUAAAUUACUAUCUUGAUUGUGUACACGUUCACGUGACAUGAUUAUGAUUUUCUAUGAUAAAUCCAAGUACACGUUCACGUGACUUUGGCCAAACAAUCUUAAUAACAAUAAAGUAUUAUUAGUUGUGUGCACGUACGCGUGACAUGACUUUAACAUACCAAAACAAGACGAAUACACGUACGCGUGAUUCGAAUAAUCGAGUAAUUAAAAGUGGUAAAAGGUAAAAAUACAAAUAGGUUCUAAAAAUACGUAAUUAAAUAAAUUAGUUAAGCCGGGUAUGAUUAAAGCGACCGUGCUAAAAAUACGGAAUCCGAGAAUGCCUAACAUCUUUUUCCGGGUUAACAUAAUUCCUUACUCGGUCUUCUGUGUUCGCAGACUUUAAAACAUAGUCAAAUUUUCUCGAUUUGAGAUUUAAAAUAAACAGGUGACGUGGGACACCAUAAUAAUUAUUCCAAGUGGCGACUCUUAUAAUCAAAUAAAUAAUCUCAUUUCGAACAAUGUCACUUUAGUUGGAAAAACUCACUAUUCCUAUCGAGAAAAGGGAGGUAUGACAACUCUGGCGACUCUGCUGGGGAUCGAACCCAGAAUCUCUAGUUUAGGGUUCAGAAUUCGAGCUUGUAAUGUGAUCUAUACUUGGCUUUAUUAUUUGUUGAUAUUGCUGUGUUUGUGGGCCUAAUGUGCUAAUUGUCGCCCAUUUACCUCUUUGAUAUUAUUUGAACUGUAUUAUAACUGUCUUCUUACGACUCCCAUCUAAUUCUUCUAAAAAUAUGAUACACAUGUACAUGUGAUACACUUUUUCGUUAGAGGUCGUACCAAAUAGAACGAGGCUGGAUCAACAACUAGACCAGGUAGACUUUCAUGUUCCCGGUACAUUAUCCCUACCUUAGCUCGAGCUGUCCGCUUGGGUAAGCCAUGUCUAGAACACACCCCCAGGUUUAAACCUAGAAUAACAUAGCCUAAUACCGGAUCCCUAGUAGGAAUGUUUGUUUGUAUCAUGUGCAUUUGACUUUGGAGACUCAACACAGAGGUUGGGUCCGUCUAGGAUAGGUGUACCCAAAAUUACAAGACCAUCUUGAUGCAUCCUACGUGCUACCUGUGCAUUUAUUUAUUUCAACUUACAUGUUGAUCGGCUAGGAAAAAAAAUUAAGAGAAACAAUAAGAGUGAGGUAGAAGAGGGAAAUUUGCCCAAUUCUGAAAACCCCGGUAUUUGGAAAAAUCCCAAAACUCUGCCAAAAGUUUUGAAAAAGAGAGAGAAGAAAAUGAAUUUCAAAAUGAAUCAAUAUCAUGUUUUCCCGUUUAUGUCAAAACUGACUGAACUACGCGGGUCUGAUUCUCACUGGAUGUGAGAUACGUAGGCAAAUCUCAUCGGUUCCGGCCCCAAUUUUANNNNNNNNNNNNNNNNNNNNNNNNNNNNNNNNNNNNNNNNNNNNNNNNNNNNNNNNNNNNNNNNNNNNNNNNNNNNNNNNNNNNNNNNNNNNNNNNNNNNNNNNNNNNNNNNNNNNNNNNNNNNNNNNNNNNNNNNNNNNNNNNNNNNNNNNNNNNNNNNNNNNNNNNNNNNNNNNNNNNNNNNNNNNNNNNNNNNNNNNNNNNNNNNNNNNNNNNNNNNNNNNNNNNNNNNNNNNNNNNNNNNNNNNNNNNNNNNNNNNNNNNNNNNNNNNNNNNNNNNNNNNNNNNNNNNNNNNNNNNNNNNNNNNNNNNNNNNNNNNNNNNNNNNNNNNNNNNNNNNNNNNNNNNNNNNNNNNNNNNNNNNNNNNNNNNNNNNNNNNNNNNNNNNNNNNNNNNNNNNNNNNNNNNNNNNNNNNNNNNNNNNNNNNNNNNNNNNNNNNNNNNNNNNNNNNNNNNNNNNNNNNNNNNNNNNNNNNNNNNNNNNNNNNNNNNNNNNNNNNNNNNNNNNNNNNNNNNNNNNNNNNNNNNNNNNNNNNNNNNNNNNNNNNNNNNNNNNNNNNNNNNNNNNNNNNNNNNNNNNNNNNNNNNNNNNNNNNNNNNNNNNNNNNNNNNNNNNNNNNNNNNCCCUAAUUUUAAUAAAAAUACCAAAAAUAAAAAUGUGUUUGUUUCUUUUGGUCAAAAGAGUAAGCCGAUCCAGCUUCGGUUGCGUCUUGCACCGUUUUUGCCGGAAUAGCCUUAGAACAUCUUUAAAUUGUCGAAAGGCUAUUCUCGCAAAGAACAGACAUGUCUGUCAAUGAGGCCUCACUUUUCCCAUGAAGUGCCUUUCCCCGGCCUCAAACUUUAUUCGAAAGUGGAAAGGGGCUAUUAUUGCAAAGAUGGCCAUCUUUGGCUAAUAUUGCAUAAAUAGACACCCUAAUUUGAUUUCUCCUUGGAAAAUUGAAAACUUGUUUUGCAAAAGAGUCCACUGGUCUGUCUUUCAAACUAGAGUCAACCAUAACCCUAACCAUUCACAGGUACAAAAUGAACACUGUCCAUAACCCGCCAUUACAUGUUGUAGAGCAUGUUCCAUUGCAGCUUCAAAUGCGAUGGUACGACCUGGAUAAAGAUAGUCAGGAUCGGGUAGUAAAAUAUUUAGGUGAUCUCACGGAUAUUAUGAAAAUCAAGGCCUUGGUAACUUUCUGGGGUCCCGUCCACAAUGUCUUCCGCUUCUCAAGUUUUGAGCUUACGCCCACUCUGGAGGAAAUAUACUGGUUUCGUCCGGGACUUAAGAAAUCAGCAACUUAUAUUUCUAAGGCCUCCCUCUGUGCACCGAUUCUUUGAUCUCCUGAAUAUCAGUAAGCAAAUAAGGAAGAACAAUGUAAACAAUGGAUGUUGCUCCUUCUGCUUCCUGUAUUCCAUAUAUGGGCACUCAAAUGGGUUUGAAGCACAUGAAAAGGGCCUGAAUAACAAGGCGAACAAGGACACCUGGAAAAUUCAUCGUCGUUUUGCUUUCAUAGUGGCGUUUCUGGGAAUUAUGGUCUUCUAAAUGAAAAAUAGACAAUUGAUAUCUGCAUGGCCAGAAUUGCGCAAGUCAUCACUACCAAAGAAGAUCACACGCUUGCUCCGCUUAUAUUAUCGGACAUAUAUCGAGCAUUGACGUUGUAUAAGUCUGGGGCGACACUUUUUGAAGGUUGCAAUAUUCUUUUGCAAAUGUGGUUAAUUAAACAUCUCCGCCAUCACCCAAAAUUCAUGAGUUAUGGCUCGAGCAAGAACAAAUUCAUCGAGAGUUAUGAGGAAAGGGUAAAAGAUUACAACUCUCCAGAAGGGGUUGAAGCUUGGAUCUUCCAUCUAAGAACUCUAAAGGCGAGUCAGAUUGAAUGGACUUUGGGAUGGCUCCCGGUAAGGGAAGUCAUACACAUGAUGGCUAGAAAAAGCUAUUUGUUGUUGAUGGAUUUGAGAAGUGUCCAACCGUAUGCACCGUAGAGAGUUCUAAGACAGUUGGGAAGAUAUCAAGUGGUGCUCGAAGAUGAAGAUUUGAGUGUCCAAGUCAUUGAGCUACACCAUGAAGCCCCACUACCCGAGGCUUUAAUCCAGCAAACUUGGAAUAGUUGUCGAUACCUGAAAGAGGAUACCCAGGUACCAGAUCUUGCGAGAGGUGAGGUAGAUCUAGGUUAUGCCACAUGGUUUGAGAGAAGGUAUUGCGUUAAUGAUGAGCCCGAGCCCCAAAGGCCCACCAAAAGACCUCAUAUUCAGGCUUUUGAUGACAAAUUUCGAGAACAGUUGGCCUGGAAGAAAAAGGAGAAGAAAUAUCAAGCCACCAUCCAUGCCUUAGAAGAAAAGUUGAGAAGCCUCACAUUUGACAAUGACUUACAGGCACAGGAGGCCGAAGGUGAAAAGAGAAAGUUGACCCGAGAGAACGAGGCACUCCGAGCCCAACUCUGGGACAUGAGGAUAGCCUCUAAAACUCCUGUGAGGAGUGAUAAAUAUGAAAAACUCAUCAGCAACUUAAGGUUAAAGGUGCAUGAUUAUGCGACUGACUUGACAAAGGCCGAGAGAGACUUGCUAAACCUCAAGCAAAGUUGGCCAUAGGUGCGGAAGAACAUGCCAGAUUAGCCUACCAGUUGAAGCAGAAAUACGACAGAGAAGUAACAAUUCUAAAGAAAAAGAUGGUCUCCCUUGAGAAUGAAAUGGUCCAACUAACAAAGGAUUUCAAGGCAGAAAGAGAGCAUUGCUACGCAUUGAUUUACCGAUUAGAAGAAAGCAUGCAACAAUUGCAAGACCAAAACAACACAUCCACACAGGUGUUGGAAGCAUGGGCACAACAAAUUGGACGUUUGCUUCAAGAAAAAGGUGUAUCAUAAUGAGAAUCAAAGAGAUAAUUGAUUAUGUUGUAAUGAAAUGCCAUGAAUGUGAAGACAUGACCAGGUCUAUGUUUUUUGCUUCUGUGAUGACCUUUGUUCGCCAGGUGAUGGUUGACCUAAACCAACUUCAAGAAGAUAUUGCAUGUAGGCCCGCGCCGAGAUCGACUGAUGUCCCACGGGCCCCCGGAGUACCAGUGGAGGCUCUUAUGUAUUUUUGAUUUUUCGGUUUUUGAGUAUGUAUUUUACUUUUUCUCGAGUUUUGUUCGUCUUUGUCAAGGCUGUUUUGUUUUGAGUAUGUAUGAUUUCCUUUGUAGUCAUCAGUAAUUCAGAGUCCUUGUAAUAGAAAAACCCAAAAAGAUGUCUUUAUUAAUGAAAUAUUGAAAAACCCAAUUUUGUUUAUUUCACAUUUAUUUCCUGAACUACGUAAUGAUCUGAUUCAUGCGGCAUCAUGAUAUGUAGGCAAUCCUCGUAGGAUUCGAUCAUAGCCAUAAAAUAAAAUUUAAAAAAAAAGAGAAAAUAAAGUGAGUGAAAAAGAAAGAAAAGAGGGGCAAAAACAAAAUGGAAGAAAAAAGCGAGAAAUAAAAGAUUGAAAAUAGUAGAAAAGAGAAGGAAAAGAAAUCAAAGGUUGAAAUUUGAGAAAGAGAUAGCAAAGCGGGGAUGAAACACAUAGCCAUUGCAAAAACAUUUAGAAAUAUUUAACUGUUCAGUUGCAUUGCAUCCCCAAUGUACGAUUCCCUAUAUAUUAAAUGCCUCAAAACUGACAAGGUUGUUGUGCAUGUUAUUUAAACAGGUCUUGUUUAGGUGGUUGGUUUUGACGGAUCCUGGCUUCCCAACGUUACUUUACAAGAUCAAAAGGAAGUGUCCCAAUGUCUUCAGAAAGCAGUAUCCGCAUCAUCUAUCCUAAGGAUAAUGCCACUUCGGUUAUGAUCCAGCCUGAGUUGGCAACUGCUGAAGAAAACCAGAUGUUACGUGUUCACAUGUUUGAGAUAUGGGACACCUGGUCCAAUGGUAGAGAACCACCAAGUUCAAUCCCUAGAUUUCCCGAACGGAUUCCUAGGAUGGGUGGAACCACCACCAUCCCCAUCCCCAUCCCCAUGACUAAUCUAUUUGUCCGCUAGGGUACCCUACUAUGUCAGCCAACUUUACCGGUACGCCUUCUAAGGUCCGCCCUCAUGCACCAUUUAUAGGGGUACCCCAACAUUGCUCACUGUACUACCAAACUUUACCAUGGCACUGCCGACCCCGGCCAGGCCAUGCUAUGAGACUUUAACAUUCACAUUUCGGGCCCGUAAUUUCAGCCAGAUAUAACUCAUGUUACUCCAGACUCAUACCCUCAGCAUCAGCAAUAUAAGUCCCCAAUGGAACAAGAAAUAACAAUGAGAAACCUCGAGCAGGAAGAAAUGGCUCAGAAGAUGAGAAGCCUAGAGCAAAGCUUAAAACACAUGCAAGGCCUGAGUGGCCAGAAGAGUGUCUCCUACUCUGAUUUGUGCAUGUUUCCACAUGUUCACCUGCCAGUUAGCUUCAAAACGCCAAAGUUUGAAAAAUAUGACGGGCAUGGAGAUCUGAUCGAUCAUCUGAAAUGAUACUGCAAUAAGUUAAGGGGUGCUAGUUGAAAAGAAGAGUUAUUGAUGGCUUAUUUCGGGGAAUGCCUGACUGGAAUCACUUCAGAAUGGUACAAGGACCAAGAAAUCUCCCACCAACACAUAUGGGAUGAUUUGGCCCACGAUUUUGUCAGACAUUUUCAGUACAAUGUUGAUAUAGCUCCAGACAGGAACUCCUUGUUUAACUUGAAGAAGAGAACCAAUGAGAGCUUCCGUGAAUAUGCUAUUAAAUGGCACGAGCAGGCUGCCAGAGUAAAGCCCCCAUGGACGAGACCGAAAUGAUUACAAUAAUCUUGCAGGACCAAGAGGCCUAUUAUUUUCAGAAUAUGAUGUCUGCCAUGGCUAAACCGUUCGUAGAGGCAAUAAAAAUUGGAGAAAUGGUAAAAAAUGGUUUGAAAAAUGGCCGAAUAUUAAGCCAAUCUGCUUUGAGAGCUACCUCCCAAGCCAUCCAGAAUGGCUCAGGAGGUUUGGCCAACCGAAAGAAGAGGGAGGAAGGAGCCAUGAUGACUUCAGGUUCAAGAGGACCCCGUCAAUCACGUGAUCACUCUUAUAUGUUGCCCAGAACCCCACAACACUACUAUCCCCACCAAGAUGUAGUCUAUGCCGUGGCACCGCCUCCCUAUGUGGUGAUGAAUGCCUAACCCUACACACGGCCACAACAGCACUACAACCAAGCUCGAGCUCCACCUCCCAGAAAUAACCAUCUUUACCAAGCUCCAUAUAAUCCUCGUCCACCACAAUACAAAUACCAACAUAAUCUAUGCCCUCGUGAGCCACCUAGGAGAUGCAAUUUCACCCCUAUUGGUGAAUCCUACUCUAGCCUGCUUCAAAAUUUGAUCCAGUUGGGUCUGUUGCAGCAUGUGCCCCCUAAUCGACAAAAUCCUGAAUCCCCAUCAUACCGGGCAUGUGCCAGGUGUGCUUACCAUUUGGGGGUAGAGGGUCAUGAUACGUAGGAUUGUUAGACCUCAAAAAGGGCGGUUGAGAAUCUGAUAGAACAAAAACAGAUUGUGUUGAGGGACGAGGAAGUCCCUAAUGUGACUAACAACCCAUUAUCGGCUCAUAACAAUGGGCCAGUCAUUGGAAUGAUCUGUGAGGAUAAAGAAUUCAAUCCAGCUUUGAAAGUUAUCAUUGCCAUUGCCGAUUCAGAAACAAGACCCAAAGUUGCGGUAAAACAAGCCAAAACUGAAAAGAAAAUCACUCCAAUUCCUCAAGUGGAAGAAAAAGCUGUAGAAACAAAAACUGGGGCAACAUAUUCUAAGAACACAAUUCUCUAUGUUCCUAAAGCCCCAGGGAAAGAACAACUCACUUUGAAUACUCCCAAGAGAUUCGACCCAAUAAAGGUCACGUUGAAUAUGCCGAAGCUGUAUGUGCCAAAGGGGAAUUACGUCGCGCGGGAGAAAAUAAUUUCACCCAGGCUGACUAAGCCCGUGGUUAUCAGCCGUGCACCACAGAAUCCCAUGAGAGACCCCACCACAGUUCCCUGGAAUUACAACAAAACAAUGGUCACUUACAAGGUCAAAGAAGUCAUGGGAGAGGUAAACGAAAUGAAUCAACCUGGAAAGUACCAUAACCUAGAAGAGUUAAAGCUGAAAAAGGAUAAACGGUUUCCACCUAAAAAUCAUGUGAGCGCCGAGGAGGCUGAAGAGUUUUUUCGAAAAAUGAAAACUUCGGACUAUGGAAUAGUUGACUAACUCCGGAAGACUCCUUCCCUAGUCUCACUCCUAUAUCUGUUGUUGAGCUCAAAUGAUCAUCAGAAAGUACUCUUAAAGACAUUGAACGAGGCAUAUGUCCCAGUUGAAACUUCUGUUGAGCAACUAGAGAGAAUGGCAGAACGAUUCUUCGAGGUCAACAGGAUUUCUUUCAGCCGCGAGGAUUUGCCCCCAGAGGGAGCUACCCAUAAUAAAGCCCUUCACUUGACUGUAAAAUGUGGGGAUUACUAUGUGAAGAGAUUCAUGCUAGAUGGUGGUUCAGGGAUCGAUAUCUUCCCUCUUUCAACACUCUAGAGAAUGGAGAUUGGAACGGAAAGAAUCCGACCUAACAAUGUUUGUGUACGGGCUUUUGAUGGCAUCAAGAGAGAUACAAUAAGGGAAAUUGAUCUAAUUUUGACCAUUGGCCAUGUGGACUUCGAAAUGACUUUCCAGACUCUAGAUAUGGACACCUCAUACAAUUUUAUUUUGGGAAGACCAUGAAUUCACGCUGCUAGAGUCGUUCCCUCCACUCUCCACUAGAUGAUCAAAUUUGAGUACGAGAAUCAAGAAAUUGUUGUUCAUGGGGAAGACGAGCAGUCCAUCUACAGGGAUCCUUCAGUCACGUGCCUUGAAGCUAGGGAAGGCAGUGAGCAUAUUGUAUACCAGGAUUUUAAGAUUGUGGUUGCCGAUCAAUAUGAAGAAGGGGCACCAUGCCCAUAGACUUGCUUAUCUAAUGCCUCAGUCACGGUGGCCACUGAAAUGAUUAAAUAUGUGUACAAGCCCGGAAAGGGGCUCGGGGUAUCUCUACAAGGCAUCACAGAGCCCGUCACUUCGAUCGCCAAUGAGAAGUUUUGGCGUGGGUUUCCAAUCUAACGAAGCUAAUAGAAAAUGGGAGGAUAAGCGCAAAAAAAGGUUGGGUCCUACCCCAGCCUAUCCCACAUCUCUCCCGAUCAUUUGUCAAGCCCAUGUUUAUGGAAGAAGAAGAAGAAGAGGCCUUCACGGCGGAAGAGAUUGAUGAUAUUUGUGAGGCCAUGAAACAAAUGUUGUAUGCGGUUCACAUGGUCCAGCCAGGGGAAGGCACGAGUACUGCCGAGGUGCAGUAAAUGGGGCUAGAUGCCAAGCUUCAGAAUUGGAAGGUUACUCCAUUCUCUAUCAGAUGGGAGUCCCGGUAAUCUAGUCUUGCCAUCUCUUCUGCAUUACGAGUUAUUUCAGGGUGUAACUUGAAUGUUUUAUUUUUAUUGUCUUUUAAUUUCGAUGUAAACCCUCCUAUCUUCAAUGAAAUGAAAUGAAAUCAGUAUUUCAUCGUCUAUAGAUAUCUCUUCUCUUUUAUUCUGAUUUUGCUAUUUUUUUAUUUUUUUUCCUUUUCAGUUCUAAUAAGGUAGACUUAAAUAAUAUGACAUGCUUGCAGACUUCAUGCCCAGAUCCUAAAAUAUUGUCUAACUGUGAAAUAAUGAAUAAAGAACCAGAAUAUGAUGAAGAUGAGGCGUUUAGGAAAAUAAAUCGAGAAUUGGAAUAAUUUGAGAAUAAGCCUAAACUAAACUUAAAUGAAACCGAGCCAGUUAAUUUGGGCAGUUUAUAAGAGAUCAGAGAAACCAUGAUAAGCAUUUACACUGAUGAAAGAACUAGAGAUGUAUUAAUCCAACUUUUGUUUGAAUUCAAAGACGUGUUUGCAUGGUCCUAUAAUGAUAUGCCAGGAUUGAGCGUCGAUUUAGUGGUACAUAAAUUGCCGACCUAUCCCGACUAUCCAACUGUCCAACAGAAGAAGAGAAAGUGCAAGACAAACAUCAAUGAUAAGAUCAAAGAAGAAGUCACCAAACAACUAAAAGAUGGUGUGAUCCAAGUGGUCCGAUACACUACGUGGUUGGCUAAUGCGGUUCCAGUGCCGAAGAAAGAUGGAAAAACCCGAGUGUGUGUUGAUUAUCGGGAUUUGAACAAAUCAAUCCCCAAGGACAAUUUUCCAUUGCCAAACAUCAACAUUCUUGUUGACAAUUGUGCCAAGCAUGAUAUACAAUCUUUUGUUGAUUGUUAUGCUGGAUAUCACCAGGUUCUGAUGGAUGAAGAAGAUGCAGAAAAGACAGCUUUCACCACACCAUGGGGAACUUACUAUUACAGGGUCAUGCCAUUCGGUCUGAAAAUCACCGGGGCAACCUACAUGAGAGCUAUGACUGCCAUCUUCCAUAACAUGAUGCACCAAGAAAUUAAGGUGUAUGUGGAUGAUGUGAUCAUUAAAUCCAGAACGUAAGAAGACCAUGUGCGAGACUUGAGGAAGUUCUUUGAGCGUCUGCGCAUGUAUGAUUUGAAAAUGAACCCAACUAAAUGUGCAUUCGGAGUUCCAUCUGGGAAACUUCUAGGGUUUAUAGUCAGCCGGAGAGGUAUUGAACUAGAUCCAGCAAAGAUAAAGUCUAUUCGGGAUUUACCUCCUCCGAAAACCAAGAAAGAGUUCAUGCGUCUGCUAAGGAGGCUAAAUUAAAUCAAUAGAUUCAUUUCUCAGCUUACUACCACGUGUGAACCCAUAUUUAAGUUGCUGAACAAAGACGCAUCGAUCAAAUGGACAGAUGAGUGUCAAGAAGCUUUUGAUAAAAUCAAAGAAUAUCUGUCAAAUCUGCCAGUGUUGGUUCUGCCUGAGCCCAGAAGACCUUUGUUCUUGUACCUGACAGUCUUAGAAAAUUCUAUCGGCUGUGUCCUCGGGCAACAUAAUAUGACCGGGAAGAGAGAGAGCAAGCCAUAUAUUACCUGAGCAAAAAGUUCACCAGUUAUGAAGCCAAAUAUACGUUGCUAGAAAGAACUUGUUGCGCCCUCACUUGGGUCGCCUAGAAGCUCAGACAUUAUCUUUUGGCCUACACAACGUAUCGCAUAACAAGAAUGGACCCUUUGAAAUACAUAUUCCAAAAACCAAUACCCAUAGGAAGGUUAGCAAAAUGGCAAAUCCUGCUCACUGAGUUCGACAUUGUUUAUGUCACCCGCACGACGGUGAAAGCUCAAGCCUUGGAGUAUCAUCUAGCUGAGAACCCGGUUGAUGAUGAAUACCAAUCCCUAAGUACUUAUUUUCCGGACGAAGAAGUAAACUUGGUUGAAGUAAUUCCAGAAGACACUAAUGUUUGGAAAAUAUUCUUUGAUGGAGCUGUAAAUGUAAAAGGUGUUGGGAUUGGAGCGAUUCUGAUUUCGCCCACAGGUCAGCACUAUCCGGCCACAAACCGCCUUCGGUUCUUCUGUACAAAUAACACUGCUGAGUAUGAAGCCUGCAUUAUGGGCAUGAAUAUAGAAGUUGAUCUGGAUAUAGAGGAGUUGUUAAUCAUGGGGGAUUCUGACCUAAUUAUUCGGCAAGCCCAAGGUGAAUGGGAAACUCGAGACAUCAAGCUUUUAACAUAUAUGCAACAUGUGGAAGAACUUAGCAAACAGUUAAAGUUCGUCGAGUUCAGGUACAUUCCUCGAUUCCACAAUGAGUUAUCUGAUGCACUAGCUACCUUGGCCUCAAUGCUGCCAUACCCGGGAAAUGUCCAUAUUGACCCGCUGGAAAUCCAAAUUCGAGAAAGGCAUGGUUAUUAUAAUGCAAUUGAAAUAAAACCAUAUGUUCAACCAUGGUAUCAUGAUAUCAAAAGGUUUUUGAAAACAAAGGAAUAUCCCGAGCAGGCCAGUGGAAAUCGGAAGAGAACUAUCAAAAGGCUUGCCAGCAGCUUCUUUUUGAGCGGAGAGGUCUUGUACAAAAGAACUCCAAAUUUGAAUCUUUUAAGGUGUGUAGACACCCGAGAAGCUGAAAAGAUCAUGAACAAAGUGCAUUCUGGAGUAUAUGGGCCUCACAUGAAUGGAUAUGUCCCGGUAAAGAAAAUUCUCUGGGCAGGUUAUUACUGGAUGACCAUGGAAAAUGAUUGUUUCAGUUUCGUCCAGAAGUUCCAUCAAUGCCAGAUACACGGUGACCUGAUUCAUGCACCGCCUUCAGAGUUACAUCCUAUGUAGGCGCCCUGGCAGUUCGUUGCUUGGGGCAAGGAUGUUAUUGGGCCAAUCGAGCUAAAAGCUUCAAAUGGGCACAUAUUCAUCCUGGUUGUCAUUGAUUAUUUCAAAAAGUGGGUCAAAGCGGUCACUUUUAAAGCCGUCACUAAGAAAGAAGUGGUAGACUUCGUGCAUUCCAACAUUAUUUGUCAUUUUGGUAUUCCUAAAAACUAUUAUUACCGACAAUGCUGCAAAUCUGAACAGUCACUUGAUGAGAGAGGUAUACGAAUAGUUGAAAUUACGCAUCUCAAUUCUACCCCUUACCGACCCAAAGCCAAUGAUGCCAAUGAAGCGGCAAACAAGAACAUCAAGAAGAUUCUCAGGAAGAUGAUUCAAAGCUCCACGAAAUGGCAUGAAAAGCUGCCUUUUGCACUAUUGGGAUACCGCACAACCGUGCGAACAUCAGUUGGGGCUACUCCUUACUUAUUGGUCUAUGAAACUGAAGCUAUAAUACCCACAGAAGUUUAGAUUCCCUCUCUUCGGAUCAUUGUUGAAGCUGAGAUCGAGGACGAGUAAUGGGUCAAAACCCGGUUGGAAUAGUUGACUAUGAUUGAUGAAAAAUGGAUGGCCGCAGUUUGCCACGGGAAGUUGUACCAACAAAGAAUGGCCCGUGCCUACAACAAGAAAGUGCGGCCCAGGAAAUUUGAAGUGGCUCAACUCGUCCUGAGACGUAUUCUCCCGCAUCAUGAAGAAGCAAAAGGAAAAUUUGCUCCAAACUGGAAAGGUCCGUACAUUAUAAGAAGAGUGUUGCCAAAGGGAGCGCUAUAUUUGGGAGACAUUGAAGGAAAUGACCCCGAGACAACUGUCAAUGAAGAUGCGGUUAAGAGGUAUUAUGUUUGACCCCUUUGUCACAACUUUAACAUGCUCUGAUUGGGAUGACGAAUGCUUUUAUUCUCGCUACCCAAACACUACCCAUCCUUACAACUUUUUUGAGUCGGUUCCCUCUUUCUUUGGUUACCCUCUUUGGAACAUGGAAUUUGUUACUAAAAUAAAUGAUGAAAAAUAAAAAAUAUAUAUAAAAAAUAAAAACAAAAGAAAAAAAAACAAAAGAUCCUUUAACUACGUUUGACUUGAUUCCGAAAGGAUACGUAGGCAGCCUCUCUCUGGGGUUUAGUCACACCAAAAGAAAAAUUCAUACUUCCCCAAUGUUGAAACCGGGGCAGCUGUUAUAAUGUUUCGGCGAUGGUUUCGCCUGAAAGGUUCCAAAGUUGUAAUUCAAUCCAAAUCCUUUUUACCCGAAUCCUUUUAUGCCCUUCCGAUCAAUUGGUGAGAAUGUUCACAGAUCGGAGAAUACAGCUACUUGGAUCCGAUGCAAUCAAAAUGAGAGAAAUAAAAUGAGAGAGACUUAUUGGUGAAAAUCCUCACAGGUACUGUAAGGUGACGGUAAGCAGAGAAAUUGAAAAUGAGAGUCUUGUUAGUUAAAACUCACAAAGAGCAUUAUAAGACGACGGUGAGAAGGGAAAUAAGAGAGGUCAGCAUGUGAAAACCCGCAAAGGACGCCACUGAUCGAAAAGAGGUUCCUCAAUCACUGACAUUGACACAGUCCUAGGCAAGAUUUCUCGGUUUCGAGGAAAAUAUUGUGAGAAUUUCUGAGAGUCGGAGGGUUUACACAGAUCAGGGAUCCAGUCCAAGAGGCAUAUCAGGUUCAUUGAAGCCUGCAUGCACUCCAGAUAAGUCAUUCUUUCUCUUCCUCGAAAAGGACACCUCUUGUCUAAAUUCAUUGUCCAUUCCAUUGUUUGUUUUUCUUUGAAUCCCUUUCGGUCUAACUCUAUUCCAAACUAAGGCAAAGACGGGAUGGCAAGACUGAUUUAUAGGGUUCUCAUUUUAUAUGAGCUAAUAUACAAAAAAGGCACUCAACCUUGAUAGGGGCGUCAAGUUGACCCUAACUAGCCAUAGUAGCAGAUGUUUCGAAAUCAAAAGCUCUAAAAUUGAAAGCUUUGAAAAAAAAAAGAAUGUCAAAUGCUCACAAAGGCGAAACAAAGAUUGAAAAGGUUAGGUCCCACGUGACCAGCCGUUAUGGAAAGUUUGGGAAAGCCAAAGGUUCUACGAGGUCAGAAGUGCAAGCGAUAUUCAAGAAAUAACUAGUUGCAAGUGAAAAUUAUCAUCAAAGAAGUAGGCCACGAUCAAGUGACUAAAACACCCAAGGCCGCAAAACCAACCACCAUUUCAAACUGAGAAAUUAUUCUUUGUUUGAACCACAGGAAACAGGUGUAAUCCAAAGCAAUCUUGAAACAAGCAGGUGCAACCAAAAAGAAAAUCACGCGGAGACAGAAAUAGCUCUGCAACAACAACCACUCUAAAAAGGGGAAGUCUUCUCCAAAUGUUUUCCCGCAUUUUACUCAUUCUCUUUUAAAAAUGAAAUGAUUACAAAGAAAGAAAAUAAAGAAAAUUUAAUAUAGGGUCUCCAAUCCCUAGCUGCAUUUUCUAAUAUAGGGUUUACACUCCCUAUUUGAUUUUAUUUUAGACAUAUGGUCUCCACUCCCUAGUCGAUUUUCCAACAUAGGGUCUCCACUCCCUAGUUGAUUUGAUUUUUAGACAUAGUAUCUUCACUCCAUAGUCUUUUUUCCAAUAUAGGGUCUCCACUCUAUAGUUGAAUUUAUUUUNNNNNNNNNNNNNNNNUUUUCCAACAUAGGGUUUUCACUCCCUAGUUGAUGAUAUUUUAGACAUAUGGUCUCCACUCCCUAGUCUCUUUUCCAACACAUGGUCUUCACUCCCUAGCUGAUGAUAUUUUAGAUAUAGGGUCUCCACUCCCUAGUCUGCUUUUUCAACAUAGGGUCUCCACUCCCUAGUUAUUUUCAUUUUAGACAUAGGGUCUCCACUCCCUAGUCUCUUUUCCAACAUAAGGUAUUCACUCCCUAGUUUAUACUUUUUGUUAUACAUAGGGUCUUCACUCCCUAGUUGAUGCUUUAUUUUAGACAUAGGGUCUCCACUUCCUUGUCGCUUUUACAACAUAGGGUCUCCACUCUUUAGUUGAUACUUUAUUUUAGACAUAGGGUCUUCAGUCCAUAGUCUUUUUCCAACAUUGGGUCUCCACUCCCUAGUUGGCUUCAUUUUUAAUUUUUAGAUAUAGGGUUUCCACUCCCUAGUCUCUACUUUUCUCGGGGUGCACUAAUCCAGACCUUUUAUUGCUUUCAAUAAUGAAGUAGUACAGCGUUUUGAUACAAAUAACUCACGAAAGUUUUCUAGUGAAAACUGGGAAAGAAAAUUUCGUUUGUUUAUUUUGUUGUCCGAGUAGGUUUUACCUCGAGGCACGAGUUUGAGAUGCCCAAAAGAAGAAGGCUCAUUCCAAGAUAAAGAAAAGAAAAGAAAAGAAAAGCGAAUCCAAAAUACAGAAGCAGAUGAACGGAUAUAGACUGCUCAGGACAUGACCGAAGUCACGAGCAUUGCAUUUUCCGUUUUGUUCUGAAAGCCGAAGAAGAAUGAACUAGCACCUGCAGCUAGCAAGCAUCAAGGUUCAAAUCAGAGUCUGCAUGAAGAACCAUUCAAGACUCAAGAUCAAGCUUCAAAAGACUCAUAGAUAGAAAUCUUGUAACUCGUAGCUGAUAGGCUUAGUUAUUCUUUUUCAUUUUGACUUUGGAUUAAUAAGGAGCUCAGCAAACAGUAACAAUAGUGAAAUCACAGUUCUUCAGUAGGCCCAACUGCCAUAAUUUCCAGAACUACACUGACCUGAUUCCUUUAUAGCCAAGGAUAUGUAGGCAACCUCCGAAGCAAGGUUCGGUCAAACGUUUUCAAAAUGCUUCCCAUGGAGUAUCAGGCGGGCAAAAAUUGCUUAUAAUAGCUCAUUUUAUCUUUGCCCGAAAACUCUUCAUGUUCUCGAGCAAAGAGGAGCAGCUGUGAGCACGUGAUUUUUGCCCGAUUAAAAUACUCCUACAAAAUCCACAAAAAUAAAUCUUUCUACUUGUUUUUUAUAUCAUAAAAUUUUAGGAAUUCCCUUUUAAUUGUUUGUUUACAUUUAGUUGCAUUUUGUGCAUAUUUAAUAUUUUAAAAUCAUGAAAAAUAAUAAUAAUUUUUUUAAUUCUUCAUGGCAUGGAAUAUUAGGUUUAAUUGUAUUUUUAGAACUUAAUUGCAUUAUUAAAUGAAAAUCACAAAAAUACCAUAGUCAUGUUUAUAUUUUUUCUUUCAAUUUUAAAUUAAUUAGAGUUAAGUUAAUUAAUUAUUUAAAUAUUAGAAAUAGAUAAUUAGGUUUGGCAAAUUAGACUUGAUUUAGGAAUUAAUUUAGGUUGUUAAUUAAUUUGAUUAGAAGUUGAAAUCAAAGAAAAAGAAAAGAAGGAAAGAAAGGAAUAUUUUGUUUAGUCUUAUGCGGAAUUGGGCCAAAAGCAUAAUUCUAGCAGCCCAAGUGCCCAAAGCUCCACACUGCCAUGCCUAAUUACCACCAAACCCAACCCCGUCCAGCCCUAUUAAUCCUAAACGACCCCGUUUUGAUCUCUUCGAAUCCCCACCGUUCAUGCACCAGAUCCAACGAUCCAGAACUCAACACCCCUUUAGAUUUAAUUGUUCGAACCCCUUCCUAACCCUAGAGACCCCAAAACUCAUCUCCCCCACCUCUCUCUCAUGCCCCACCUUCCGUCGCCCUCAGAAAUCUCCCUACGACGGUGGUACCACUUCAAACUCACUCAAACUCACACCCCAUACUCCUCUCCUCAUCCUCAAUCCAAAUCUACCAUAAAUUUUCCCAAAAGACCUACCAAAUGCUUCAAAUUUCAGAUCUAAGAAGUCACAAAAACCUAAAUCCACCUCAUUUUGAGUUUUCCCAAAUUUUGGCCUACCUGAGGUUCAUACCAACGCUAAUUGAGCACUCUUGUUGAGAGUUAUCAAUUGGAGUCAGUUUUGGACCUAUUCUAGGCCACCCGAAUUCGGUCAUCAGUACACCACCAUGGAACCCCCAAAAUGUUGAUUUCUUUUGCCGGUAUAUGGCGGGCAUCGUCACAUAUAGCAUUGUCUACCCUCGAGUGUGGGCUAAUUCUCAUGUAACGAUGUCGGCUGCUAGCCGGAUGUCCUUUUCGAGCAACCUUGUCGUCUAUGGGUAAUCCUUCUUUUCAUUUCUUUAAUUACUGCCUAUUUUAGGAUAAUUGAUUGACAUUUUUGUGUUACAUGCUAUAGAUUAGGUUUAUUUCAAAUUAACGGCGUGUUUUUUAUUUGGCUUCAACUUUUGUCAAAUUAAUCAAUUCAUAGUUAUUUUAAGGUUGCAUUAAUAUAUUGAUUGUUAGUAUAACUUCUCGUAUGUUUAGCAUGUUCUAGAUUAGUUAGAAUUUCAAAUUUAUCAAUUCUGUGAUUAGGUCAAUGCUUUAAAAGCAUAGCAGUCAGUUUUAAUUAGGUUAAAGUGACUUUAAUUAGUUAAUUAUAUGUUUGAAUUAGUUUAACCACAUAAUAUUAGUUAAAGUUUGAAUAUUGCUUGUUGUGCUGUGAUUUUUUAAUCCAUCUAAUUUUUUAUGAUAGCUGUUUGUAAUUACUAAAAUACCAGGGGGCAAAAGAAAUUAGAAAAUCAGGGAAUCUUAGUUUGGAAUUGCCUAGAAGGUUCUAGAAAAGGGGGCUAAAAUACAAUAAAUAGAAGGAAUUAGGUCAAAUUUGGUUUAAAAGAGGUAAUUUUCAUAAGUUAAAAAGAGUGAAAAUGAGAAGAAACUUCUAGAAAAGGGACAAUUGUCCAAAUCUGUUAGAAAAGAUGCUGAAAUUGGAUACAUCUGUCCAUUUUCUGGUACUAAAGAUGCCAAUUCCCUGAAUUUUAGGGAAGGUUGGCAGGUUCCUUUUGGUUUAAUCCUAUUUCCUCAUAAGACAUAGGUAUCUUUCUAUAAAAGGAACCUUUAUCCUCACACUCUAGGACGAUUUUUUCAAGGACUGCACAUUCAUUCACUCAAAAAGACACGACCUUUACACAUAAAUUCUCUAAAAUUCAGAAUUCCUCCUUUCAUUACUUCAUUGAUUUUACAUUGAUUUUUGAAAAAUCCAUUAUCCUUCACUUUCAUUUUUAGUAAAGAAAAUUUCUGGAAACCCAACUUUGGGAUUUCAGAAACAAAAAAAAUACAAAGGUUUUCAUCAGCUUGCUUUACUAUCGGAUAGUUGUGUUUUUCAAGUUCUGGGUUUGAAGUUUGGUUGAGCUUCAUUUUCUGUGUUGGCUACUGUUUCAUUAAGUUGUAGCUGAUUCUGUUUUUAGCUGUGCUUCUCAAAUUCAGAGGCUUAUUUUUUUGUUGUUCUUUGUUGCUGUUGAGGUAUUACUCUUGAUCAAAUAAUAUAAAUUUCAGUUUGUUUGAAUUAUGAAACUGUUUUCUGCAGUAUGGUGACUGUGUUUGGUGUUUAUCAAACUGUGUGUGUUGUUUAAUUAUUGUUGGAAUGUGGCUAUGAGCUAUGAGUUGAAUUAAUGCAAUGUAUCGUAUUAAAUAAUGACUAAGAUCCAUUUAUUUGAAGUUAUCUGUAGACAUGUAUGAAAUUACUCAUCUAUACAAUUUAUUCUUUAGCCUUGAAGUUUAUAGUUUGUUACCAGUUAGAAUUAAAGACUGUGAUAACCUACACUUGAUAAGGUGUUUGUUUAAGUUGUAAAAUUUUACCAGUGGUGAUUUUGGAUUUGCAUGCUAGCUUGAAAGCCUCAGUGACAGAUGCACACAUAGCUCUAAUUCAGGUUUCAAUUGCUAAUGGGUUUGGCUAAACCAGUAGAUAUUAAAGCAUAAGAAGGAAACACCAAAAGUGUUUAGAUACUCCAGUGCAAGUGGUGUGUUGAUUUCAUCCUAAAGCUGUUAUCUAGUUCAAUUGUCAUGGUUGCUCUGUUUUCUGUAUCUAUGUAGUCAUUCAUGAAUUGUAAUUAGAGUAAUUGAAACUGUGAUUCAAGAUUUGUUAUUCUUUAAUGAUGCAAAUGGGUAUUGUUUCUUUUUAGGCUUGUAUAAUUGUGUAUAAUUGGGUAUUGAAUAUGAUUUAAGGUUAGUUACCUUUUAUUGGGCCUGGCGUGGGCCAAUUUUGUAAAAGAAUGUUUGGCCAAGGGAAGAAAUCCUAUUUCCAGUUGGUUAGUGGAGUUUUAUUAUUCACUUGGGCUCAAUUUUGAGCCCAGUGUUAUGUGCUGAUACUUUUUAAAAGGAAUUAUCACAUCUGGGCCUCACCUAAAAAUCCACAUGCAAUUUGCUUAGCCCAUUAGAGAUCCUUCGCCAAUGUUUAAUGAAAUUGAGCCCAUAUUUGUUUAAUUUCGCCUAGAUCACGACUUUACCAAUAAUCUCAAAUUAGAAUAGGAAAUAAAUCACAAAUAUUCGUAGAAAUGCUUUAGGCGCGUUCUUUAAAUUACUAUCGUGAUUGUGUACACAUUCGUUUGACAUAAUUAUAAUUUGCUAAAAUAAAUCUAAGUACACGUUCGCGUGAGUUUGUCCAAACAAUCAUAAUAACAAUAAAGUGUUAUUAGCUGUAUACACGUACGCAUGACAUGAUUUUGACAUACCAAAACAAGACGAAUACCGUACGCGUGAUUCGAAUAAUCGAGUAAUUAAAAGUGGUAAAAGGUAAAAAUACACAUAGGUUCUAAAAAUACGUAAUUAAAUAAAUUAGUUAAGCCAGGUAUGAUUAAAGAGACCGCGCUAAAACCACGGAAUCCGAGAAUGCCUAACACCUUCUCCCGGGUUAACAAAAUUCCUUACCCGAUCUUCUGUAUUCGCAGACUUUAAAACAAUGUCAAAUUUCCUCGAUUUGGGAUUUACAAUAAAUCGGUGACUUGGACACCAUAAUAAUUAUUCCAAGUGGCGACUCUUAAAAUCAAAUAAAUAAUCUCAUUUCGAACAAUGUCACUUUAAUUGGAAAAACUCUCUAUCCCUAUCGGGAAAAAAAGGCGUGACAACUCUGGCGACUCUGCUGGGGAUCGAACUCAGAAUCUCUGGUUCAAGGUUAAAAAUUCGAGCUUGUAAUGUGAUCUAUACUUGACUUUAUUGUUUGUUGAUAUUGCUGUGUUUGUGGGCCUUAUGUGCUAAUUGUCGCUCAUUUACCUCCUUAUAUUAUAUGAACUGUAUUAUAUCUGUCUUCUUACGACUCCCGUCUAAGUCUUCUAAAAAUUUGGUGCACACGUACCCGUGGCCCACUUUUCUGUUAGAGGUCGUACCAAAUAGAACGAGGCUGGAUCAGUAACUAGACCGGGUAGACUUUCGUGCUCUCGGUACAUUGCCCCCACCCCGUCUCGAGCUGUCUGCUUGGGUAAGCCAUUUCUAAAAUACACCCCCAGGUUUAAACCUAGAAUAACAUAGCCUAAUGCCAGAUCCCUAGUAGGAACGUUUGUUUGCAUCAUGUGCAUUUGACUUUGGGGACUCAACACAGGGAUUGGGUCCGUCUAGGAUAGGUGUACCCAAAAUUACAAGAUCAUCCUGAUGUAUCCUACGUGCUACCUGUGCAUUUAUUUAUUUCGGUUUGCAUGUUGAUUGGCUAGGAAAAGAAAAUCAAGAGAAAAACCAAGAGUGAGGUAGGAGAGGGAAAUUUGUCUGGUUCUAAAAACCCCGGUAUUUGAAAAAAUGCCGAAAAUCUGCCAAAACUUUUGAAAAAAGAGAGAAGAAAAUGAAUUUCAAAAUGAAUCAAUAUCAUGUUUUUCCGAUUAUGUCAAAACUGACCGAACUACGCAGGUCUGAUUCUCACCGGAUGUGAGAUACGUAAGCAAACCUCAUCGGUUCUGGCCCCAAUUUUUUAAAAACCCAAAAAUAAAAAUGUGUCAGUUGCUUUGGUCAAAAGAGAAAGCCGACCCAACUUCGGUUGCGUCUUGCACCGUUUUUGCCAGAAUAGCCUUAGAACAUCUUUAAAUUGUCGAAGGGCUAUUCUCGCAAAGAACAAAUAUGUCUGUCAAUGGGGACUCACUUUUCCCAUGAAGUACCUUUCCCCGGCCUCAAACUUUAAUCGAAAGUGGGAAGGGGCCAUUAUUGCAAAUAUGGCCAUCGUUGGCUAAUAUUGCAUAAAUAGCCACCCUUAUUUGAUUUCUCCUUGGAAAAUUGAAAACUUGUUUUGCAAAAGAUUCCACUGGUCUAUCUUUCGAACUAGAGUCAACCCUAACUCUAACCAUUCACAGGUACAAAAUGAACACUCUCUAGAACCCGCCAUUAAAUGUUGUUGAGCAGGUUCCAUUGCAGUUUCAAAUGUGGUGGUAUGACGUGGAUAAAGAUAGUUAGGAUUGGGUAGUAAAACAUUUGGGUGCUCUCACAAAUUUUAUGAAAAUCAAACCUCGGGAUGAUCUGAUCAAGGCCUUGGUAACUUUCUGGGAUCCCGUCCACAAUGUCUUUCGCUUCUCAGGUUUUAAGCUUACCCCCACUCUGGAGGAAUUAGCCGGAUGUACUGGUUUCGGUCGGGACUUGAGAAAUCAACAACUUAUAUUUCCAAGGCCUCCCUCUGUGCAACGAUUCUUUGAUAACCUGAAUAUCAGUAAGCAAAUAAGGAAGAACAAUGUAAACAAUGGAUAUUGAUCCUUCUGCUUCAUGUAUUCCAUAUAUGGGCACUCAAAUGGGUUUGAAGCACAUGAAAAGAGCCUGAAUAACAAGCCAAAUAAGUACAUCAGGAAAAUUCAUCGUCGCUUUGCUUUCAUAGUGGCGUUUCUGGAAAAUAUGGUCUUCCCAAAUGAAAAACGGACAAUUGAUAUCCGCAUGGCCAGAAUUGCGCAAGUCCUCACUACCAAAGAAUAUCACAUGCUUGCUCCACUUAUAUUAUCGGACAUAUAUCGAGCAUUGACGCAGUGUAAGUCUGGGGGGACGCUUUUUGAAGGUUGCAAUAUUCUUUUGCAAAUGUGGUUAAUUGAACAUCUCCUCCAUCACCCAAAAUUCAUGAGUUAUGGCCCGAGCAAGAACAACUUCAUCGAGAGUUUUGAGGAAAGGGUAAAAGAUUACAACUCUCCAGAAGGGGUAGAAGCUUGCAUAUUCCAUCUAAUAACUCUAAAGGUGAGUCAGAUUGAAUGGACUUUGGGAUGGCUCCCGGUAAGGGAAGUCAUACAUAUGACGUCUAGAAAGAGCUAUUUGUUGUUGAUGGAUUUGAGAAGUGUCCAACCGUAUGCACCGUAGAAAGCUCUAAGACAGUUGGGAAGAUACCAAGUGGUUCCCGAAGAUGAAGAUUUAAGUGUCCAAGUCAUUGAGCUACACCAUGAAGCCCCACUACCCAAGGCUUUAAUCCAGCAAACUUGGAAUAGUUGUCGAUACCUGAAAGAGGAUACCCAAGUACCAGAUCUUGCGAGAGGUGAGGUAGAUAUAGGUUAUGCCACAUAGUUUGAGAGAAGUUAUUGCGUUACUGAUGAGCUAGAGCCCGAGCCCGAAAGGCCCGCCAAAAAACCUCAUAUUCAGGCUUUUGAUGACAAAGUCCGAGAACGGUUGGCCUAGGAGAAAAGGAUAAGAAAUAUCAAGCCAACAUCCAUCCCUUAGAAGAAAAGUUGAGAAGCCUCACAUUUGACAAUAACUUACAGGAGGAGGAGGCUGAAGGUGAAAAGAGAAGGUUGACCUGAGAGAACGAGGCACUCUGAGCCCAACUCCAGGACAUGAGGACAGCCGCUGAAACGCCUAUGAGGAGUGAGAAAGAUGAUUAUGCAGUUGACUUAAGGUUAAAGGUGCAUGAUUAUGCAGCUGACUUGACAAAGGCCGAGAGAUACUUGCUAAAAGCUCAAGUAAAGUUGGCCAAAGGUGCGGAAGAACAUGCUAGAUUAGCCCACCAGUUGAAGCAGAAAUACGACAGAGAAGUAACAGUUCUAAAGAAAAAGUUGGCCGCCCUUGAGAAUGAAAUGGUCCAACAAACAAAGGAUUUCAAGGCAGAAAGAGAGCAUUGCUAUGUAUUCCUUUACCAAUUAGAAGAAAGUAUGCAACAGUUGCAAGACCAAAACAACACAGCCACACAGGUGCUGGAAGCCCGGGCAUAGCAAAUUGGAUGCUUGCUUCAAGAAAAGGGUGUCAUCAUAAUGAGAAUCAAAGAGAUAAUUGAUUAUGUUGUAAUGAAAUGACAUGAAUGUGAAUACAUGACUAGGUCUAUGUUUUUUGCUUCUGUGAUGACCUUUGUUCACAAGGUGAUGGUUGACCUAGACCACCUUCAAAAAGAGAUUGCAUGUAGGCCCACGCUGAGAUGGGCUGAUGUCCCACGGGCCCCCCGGAGUACCAGUGGAGGCUCUUAUGUAUUUUUUGGUUUUGAGUCUGUAUUUUACUUUUUCUCGAGUUUUGUUCGUCUUUGUCAAGGCUGUUUUGUUUCGAGUCUAUAUGAUUUCUUUUGUAGUCAUCAGUACUUCAGAGUCCUUGUAAUAGAAAAACCCAAAAAGAUGUCUUUAUUAAUAAAAUAUUGAAAACCCCAAAAAAAAUCAUUUCUUUUAUUUCGCAUUUAUUUCCUGAACUACGUAAUGAUCUAAUUCAUGCGGCAUCAUGAUAUGUAGGCAAUCCCCAUAUGAUUCGAUCAUAGCUAUAAAAUAAAAUUUUAAAAAAAGAAAAAAAAUUGAGUGAAAAAGAGGGGCAGAAACAAAAGGGAAGAAAAUAGCGAGAAAUAAAAGAGCAAAAAAUAGUAGAAAAGAGAAGGAAAAGAAAUCAAAAGUUGAAAUUUGAGAAAGAAAUAGCAAAGCCGGGAUGAAACACACAACCAUUGCAAAGACAUUUAGAAACGUUUAACUAUUCAGGUGCAUUGCAUCCCCAAUGUGUGAUUCCCUAUCUGUUAAAUGCCUCAAAACUGACAAGGUUGUUGUGCGUGCUAUUUAGACAGGCCUUAUUUAGGUGGUUGGUUUUGACGGAUCCUGGCUUCCCACCGUUACUUUACAAGAUCAAAAAGAAGUGUCCCAAUGUCUUCAGAAAGUAGUCUCCACAUCAUCGAUCCUAAGGAUAAUGCCGCACCGGUUAUGACCCAGCCUGAGUAGGCAACUGCUGAAGAAAACAGGAUGUUAUGUGUUCACAUGUUUGAGAUGUGGGACACCUGGUCCAAUGGUAGAGAACCACCAAGUUCAAUCCCUAGAUUUCCCGAACAGAUCCCCAGGACGGGUGGAACCACCAACAUCCCCAUCCUUAUGACUAAUCCAUCUAUCCGCUAGGGUACCCUACUAUGUCAGCCAACUUUACCGGUACGCCUUCUGAGGUCCGCCCCCAAGCACCAUUUAUAGGGGUACCCCCAACAUUGCUCACUACACCACCAGUCUUUACCAUGGCACUGCCAACCGCGGCCAGUCCAUGCUAUGAGCCUUUAACAUUCACAUUUUGUGCCCGUAAUUUCAGCCAGAUACAACUCAUGUUACUCCAGACUCAUACCCUCAUCCUCCGCAAUAUGAGUCCCCAAUGGAUCAAGAAAGAACAAUGAGAAACCCCGAGCAGGAAGAAAUGGCUCGGAAGAAGAGAAGCCUAGAGCAAAGCCUAAAACACAUGUAGGGCCUGAGUUGCCAGAAGAGUGUCACCGACUCUGAUUUCUGCAUGUUUCCACAUGUUCACCUGCCAGUUGGCUUCAAAAUGCAAAAGUUUGAAAAAUAUGACAAGCAUGGAGAUCCGAUUGAUCAUCUGAAAUGAUACUGCAAUAAGUUAAGGGGUGCUAGUUGAAAAGAAGAGGUAUUCAUGGCUUAUUUUGGGGAAAGCCUGACUGGAAUCGCUUCAGAAUGGUACAUGGACCAGGAAAUCUCCCACCGGCACAUAUGGGAUGAUUUGGCCCACGAUUUUGUCAGACAAUUAUAGUACAAUGUUGAUAUAGCUCCAGACAUGAACUCCCUGUCUAACUUGAAGAAUAGAACCACUGAGAGAUUCCGUGAAUAUGCUAUUAAAUAGCGAGCAGGCUGCUAGAGUAAAGCCACCCAUGGACGAGACCGAAAUGGUUACAAUCUUCUUGCAUGCCCAAGAGGUCGAUUAUUUUCAGAAUAUGAUGUCUGCCAUGAGUAAACCGUUCGUAGAGGCAAUAAAAAUCGGAGAAAUGGUAGAAAAUGGUUUGAAAGGUGGCAGGAUAUUAAGCCAAUCUUCUUUGAGAGCUACCUCCCAAGCCCUCCAGAACGGCUUAGGAGGUUUGGCCAACAGAAAGAAGAGGGAGGAAAGAUCCAUGAUGACUUCAGGUUCAAGAGGGCCCCGUCAAUCACGUGAUCACUCUUACAAGACGCCCAGAACCCCACAGCACUACUAUCCCCACCAAGAUACAGUCUAUGUCGUGGCACCGCCUCCCUAUGCGGUGAUGAAUGCCCAACCCUACACACGGCCACAUCAGCAGUACAACCAAGCUCGAGCUCCACCUCCCAGAAAUAAAAAUCCUUACCAAGCUCUAUAUAAUCCUCGUCCACCACAAUAUAACCGCCAACAUAAUCCAUGCCCUCGUGAGCCACCUAGGAGAAGCAAUUUCACCCCUAUUGGUGAAUCCUACUCUAGCCUACUUCAAAAGUUGAUCCAACUGGGUCUGUUGCAGCAUGUGCCCCCUAAUUGACAAAAUCCUGAAUCCCUAUCAUACCGGGCAGGUUCCAGGUGUGCUUACCAUUCGGGGGUAGAGGGUCAUGAUACGUAGGAUUAUUGGACCUUAAAAAGGGCGGUUAGGAAUUUGAUAGAACAAAAACAAAUUGUGCUGAUGGACGAGGAAGUCCCUAAUGUGACUAACAACCCAAUGUCAGCUCAUAACAAUGGGCCGGUCAUUGGAAUGAUAUGUGAGGAUAAGGAAUUCAAUCCAAUUUUGAAAGCUAUCAUUGCCAUUGCCGAUUCAGAAACAAGACCCAAAGCUGCGAUAAAACAUGCCAAAACUAGGAAGAAAAUCACUCCAAUUCCUCAAGUGGCAAAAAAAGUUGUAGAAACAAAAACUAGGGAAACAUCUGCUAAGAACACAAUUCUCUAUGUUCUUAAAGCCCCAAGGAAAGAACAACUCACUUUGAAUUCUCCCAAGAGAUUCGAGCCAAGAAAGGUCACGUGCCGAAGCUGUAUGUGCCAAAGGGGACUUACAUGGCGCGGGAGACAAUAAUUUCACCCGGGCUGACUGAGCCCGUGGUUAUCAUCCAUGCACCACAGAACCCCAUGAGAGACCCCACAGCAGUUCCCUGGAAUUACAACAAAAUAGUGGUCACUUACCGGGGCAAAUAAGUCAUGGGAGAGGUAAACGAAAUGAAUCAACCUCGGAAGUACCAUAACCUAGAAAAAUUAAAGUUGAAAAGGGAUAAACGGUUUUCACUAAAAAACAUGUGAGCGUGGGGAGGCAGAAGAGUUUUUUUGAAAAAUAAAAACUUUGGACUAUGGAAUAGUUGACCAGCUCCGGAAGACUCCUUCCCUAGUCUCACUCCUAUCUCUAUUGUUGAGCUCAAAUGAUCAUCAGAAAGUACUCUUAAAGAAAUUGAACGAGGCAUAUGUCCCAAUUGAAACUUCUUUUGAGCAACUAGAGAGAAUGACCGAAUGAUUCUUCGAGGUCAAUAGGAUUUCUUUCAGCCGCGAUGAUUUUCCCCCAGAGGGAGCUGCCCACAACAAAACCCUUCACUUGACUGUCAAAUGUGAGGGCUACUAUGUGAAGAGAGUCAUUCUAGAUGGUGGUUCAGGGGUUGAUAUCUGCCCUCUUUCAACACUCCAGAGAAUGGAGAUUGGAACGUAAAGAUUCCGACCUAACAAUGAUUGUGUACGGGCUUUUGAUGGCAUCAAGAGAGAUACAAUAGGGGAAAUUGAUCUAAUUUUGACCAUUGGCCCUGUGAACUUCGAAAUUUUUCCAGAUUCUAGACAUAGACACCUCAUACAAUUUUCUUUUGGGAAGACCAUGGAUUUACGUUGUUAGAGCCAUUCCAUCCACUCUCCACCAGAUGAUCAAAUUUGAGUACAAGAAUCAAGAAAUUGUUGUUCAUGGGGAGGACGAGCAGUCCAUCUACAGGGAUCCUUCAGUCUCAUGCCUUGAAGCCAGGGAAGGCAGUAAGCAUAUUGUAUACCAGGCUUUUGAGAUUGUGAUUUCUGAUCAAUAUGAAGAAGGGCCCCCAUGCCCAUAGCCUUGCUUAUCUAAUGUCUCAGUCAUGGUCAACACUGAAAUGAUUAAACAUGGGUACAAGCUCAGAAAGGGGAUCGGGGUAUCUCUACAAGGCAUCACAGAGCCCGUCACUUCGAUCGCCAACGAGAAGUUUUUUGGCGUGGGUUUCCAAGCUACCGAAGUUGAUAGAAAAUGGGCGGAUAAGCGCAAAAAAGAAGGUUGGUUCCUACCCCAGCCUAUCCCACAUCUCGCCCGAUCAUUUGUCAAGCCCAAAUAUGUAAAAGAAGAAGAAGAGGCCUUCACGGUCGAAGAGAUUGGUGAUAUUUGUGAGGCCAUGUAACAAAUGUUGUAUGCGGUUCACAUGGUCCUGUCACGGGAAGGCACGAGCACUGCCGAGGUGCAGUGUAUGGGGCUAGAUGCCAAGCUUUAGAAUUAGAAGGCUACUCCAUUCCCUGUCAGACGGGAGUCCCAGUAAUCUAGUCUUGCCAUCUCUUCUGCAUUACGAGUUAUUUCAGGGUGUAACUCGAAUGAUUUAUUUUUAUUGUCUUUUAAUUUAGAUGUAAACCCUCUUAUCUUCAAUUCAAUGAAAUGAAAUCAGUAUUUCAUCGUCUAUAGAUGUCUCUUCUCUUUUAUUCUGAUUUUGCUAUUUUCUUUUUCUUUUUCUCUUUUUUUCUUUUUUUCUUUUCAGUUCUAAUAAUGCGGACUUAAAUAACAUGACAUGCUUGCAGACUUCAUGCUCGGAUCCUAAAACAUUGUCUAACCGUGAUAUAAUGAAUCAAGAACCAGAAUAUGAUGAAGAUGAGGCUUUUAGGGAAAUAAACCAAGAAUUGGAACAACCUGAGAAUAAUCCUAAGCCAAACUUAAAUGAAACCGAGUGAGUUAAUUUGGGUAGUUCAGAAGAGAUCAGAGAAACUAUGAUAAGCAUUCACACUGAUGAAAGAACUAGAGAUGCAUUAAUCCAACUUUUGUUUGAAUUCAAAGACGUGUUUGCAUGGUCCUAUGAUGAUAUGCCAGGACUGAGUGUUGAUUUAGUGGUACAUAAAUUGUCGACCUAUCCCGGCUAUCCACCUGUCUAACAAAAGCAAAGAAAGUUCAAGACAGAUAUCAGUGAUAAGAUCAAUGAAGAAGUCACCAAACAACUGAAAGGCGGUGUGAUCUGAGUGGUCCGAUACGCCACGUGGUUGGCUAAUGUGGUUCCAGUGCCAAAGAAAGAUGAGAAAACCCGAGUGUGUGUUGAUUAUCGGGAUUUGAACAAAGCAAGCCCCAAGGAAAAUUUUCCAUUGCCAAACAUCCACAUUCUUGUUGACAACUGUGCCAAGCAUGAGAUACCGUCUUUUGUGGAUUGUUAUGCUGGAUAUCACUAGGUUCUGAUGGAUGAAGAAGACGCAAAAAAGACAGUUUUCACCACACCGUGAGGCACUUACUGUUACAGGGUCAUGCCAUUCGGUCUGAAAAACGUCGGGGCAACCUACAUGAGAGCUAUGACUGCCAUCUUCCAUGACAUUAUGCACCACGAAAUUGAGGUGUAUGUGGAUGAUGUGAUCAUUAAAUACAUAACGCAAUAAGACCAUGUGCGAGACUUGAGGAAGUUCUUUGAGUGUCUGCGCAUGUAUGAUUUGAAACUGAACCCAGCUAAAUGUGCAUUUAGAGUUCCAUCUGGGAAACUUCUGGGUUUAUAGUCAGUCGAAGAGGUACUGAACUAGAUCCGGCAAAGAUAAAGUCUAUUCGGAAUUUACCACCUCCUAAAACCAAGAAAGAGGUCAUGAGUCUGCUAGGGAGGUUGAAUUACAUCAGUAGAUUCAUUACUCAACUUACUACCAUGUGUGAACCCAUAUUUAAGUUGUUGAAUAAAGACGCAUCGAUCAAAUAGACAGAUGAGUGUCAAGAAGCUUUUGAUAAAAUCAAAGAAUAUCUGUCAAAUCCGCUAGUGUUGGUUCCGCCUGAGCCCGGAAGACCUUUGUUCUUGUACCUGACAGUCUUAGAAAAUUCUAUCGGUUGUGUCCUCGGGCAACAUGAUGUGACCGGGAAGAGAGAGAGCAAGCCAUAUAUUACCUGAGCAAAAAGUUCACCAGUUAUGAAGCCAAAUAUACGUUGCUAGAAAGAACCUGUUGCGCCCUUACUUGGGUCGUCCAGAAGCUCAGACAUUAUCUUUUGGCCUACACAAUGUAUCGCAUAACAAGAAUGGACCCUUUGAAAUACAUAUUCCAAAAACCAAUGCCCACGAGAAGGUUAGCAAAAUGGAAAAUCCUGCUCACUGAGUUCGACAUUGUUUAUGUCACCAGCACGACGAUGAAAGCUCAAGCCUUGGCGGAUCAUCUAGCUGAGAACCCGGUUGAUGAUGAAUACCAACCCCUACGUACUUAUUUUCCGGACGAAGAAGUAAACUCGAUUGAAGUAAUUCUAGAAGACACUAAUGCUUGGAAAAAAUUCUUUGAUGGAGCUGUAAAUGCAAAAGGUGUCGGGAUUGGAUCGAUUCUGAUUUCGCCCACAAGUCAGCACUAUCCGUCCACAGCCCGCCUUCGGUUUUUCUGUACAAAUAACACCGCUGAGUAUGAAGCCUGCAUUAUGGGCAUGAAUAUGGCAGUUGAUCUGGAUAUAGAGAAAUUGUUAAUCAUGGGGGAUUCUGACCUGAUUAUUCGGCAAGCCCAAGGUGAAUGGGAAACUCGAGACAUCAAGCUUAUCCUAUACAGGAAACAUAUGGAAGAUCUUAGCAAAUGGUUCAAGUCCGUCGAGUUCAGGUACAUUCCUCGAUUCCAUAAUGAGUUAUCUGAUGCACUAGCUACCUUGGCCUCAAUGCUACCAUACCAGGGAAAUGUCCAUAUUGACCCGCUGGAAAUCCAAAUUCGAGAAAGGCAUGGUAUUGUAAUGAAAUUGAAAUAGAACCAGAUGUUCAACCAUGGUAUCAUGAUAUCAAAAGGUUUUUGAAAACAAAGGAAUAUCCCGAGCAAGCCAGUGGAAAUCAGAAGAGAACUAUCAGAAGGCUUGCCAGCAGUUUUUUUUUUAGCAGAGAGAUCUUGUACAAAAGAACUCCAGAUCUGAAUCUUUUAAGGUGUGUAGACGCCCGAGAAGCUGAAAAGAUCAUGAACGAAGUGCAUUCUGGAGUAUGUGGGCCUCACAUGAAUGGAUAUGUCCUGGCAAAGAAAAUUCUCCGAGCAGGUUAUUACUAGAUGACCAUGGAAAAUGAUUGUUUCAGUUUCGUCCGGAAGUUUCAUCAAUGCCAGAUACAUAGUGACCUGAUUCAUGCACCGCUUUCAAAGUUACUUCUUAUGUCGGUGCCUUGGUCGUUCGUUACUUGGGGCAUGGAUGUUAUUGGGCCAAUCGAGCCGAAAGCUUCAAAUGGGCACAGAUUUAUCCUAGUUGCCAUUGAUUAUUUCACAAAGUGGGUCGAAGUGGUCACUUUCAAAGCCGUCACUAAGAAAGCAGUGGUAGCCUUCAUGCAUUCCAAUAUUAUUUUUCGUUUGUUUACUCCUAAAACUAUCAUUACCGACAAUACUGCAAAUCUGAACAAUCACUUGAUGAGGGAUGUAUGUGAACAGUUUAAAAUUACACAUCACAAUUCUACCAUUUACCUACCCAAAGCCAAUGGUGUUGUUGAAGCGACAAACAAGAACAUCGAGAAGAUUCUCAGGAAGAUGAUUCAAAGCUCUAGGCAAUGGCAUGAAAUGCUGACUUUUGUACUAUCGGGAUACCGCACAACCGUGCGAACAUUUAGGGCUACUCCUUACUUAUUGGUCUAUGGUACUGAAGCUGUAAUACCAGUAGAAGUUGAGAUUCCCUAUCUUCGGAUCAUUGUUGAAGACGAGAUCGAGGACGGGGAAUGGGUCAAAACCCGGUUGGAACAGUUGACUAUGAUUGAUGAAAACUGGAUGGCCGCAGUUUUCCACGAGCAAUUGUACCAACAAAGAAUGGCCCGUGUCUACAACAAGAAAGUGCGGCCCAGGAAAUUUGAAGUGGGUCAACUCGUCCUGAGACGUAUUCUCCUCAUAAAGAAGCAAAAGGAAAAUUUUCUCCAAACUAGAAAGGUCUGUACAUUAUAAGGAGAGUGUUGCCAAAGGGAGUGCUAUAUUUGGGAGACAUUGAAGGAAAUGACCCCGAGACAGCUGUCAAUGCAGAUGCGGUGAAGAGGUAUUAUGUUUGACCCUUUUGUCACAGCAUUAACAUACUCUGAUUGGGAUGACGAAGGCUUUCAUUCUCGCUACCCAAACACUACCCAUCCUUACAACCUUUUUGAGUUGGUUCCCUCUUUCUUUGGUUACCCUCUUUGGAACAUAGAAUUUGUUACUAAAAACAAUGAUGAAACUUAAAAAAAUUAAAAUUAAAAUUAAAAAAAACAAAAGAAAAAGAAAAAGAAAAUAAAAUAAAAAAGUUCCUUGAACUACAUUUGACUUGAUUCCGAAAGGAUACGUAGGCAGCCUCUCUCUGGGGUUCAUUCACACCAAAAUAAAAAUUCACACUUCCCCAAAGUUGAAAUUGAGGCAGUUGUUAUAAUGUUUCGGCUAUGGUUUUGCCUGAAAGGUUCCAAAGUUGUAAUUCAAUCCACAUCCUUUUUACCUGAAUCCUUUCAAGCCCUUCCGAUCAAUCGGUGAGAAUGUUCAAGGAUCGGAGAAUAUGGUAACUUGGAUCCGAUGCAAUCAAAAUGAGAGAAAUAAAAUGAGAGAGUCUUAUUGGUGAAAAUCGGGCACCGUAAGGCGACGGUAAGCAGAGAAAUUGAAAAUGAGAGAGUCUUGUUAGUAAAAACUCGCAAAGAGCACUAUAAGGCGACAAUGAGAAGAGAAAUGAAAGAGGUCAGCUAGUGAAAACCCGCAAAGAGCGCCACUGAUCGAAAAGAGGUUCCUCAGUCACUGACAUUGACACAGUCCUAGUCAAGGUUUCUCGAUUUCGAAGCAAAAGUUGUGAUGAAUUUCUGAUAGUCGGACAGUUUACACAUAUCAGGCAUCCAGUCCAAGAGGCAUGUCAGGUUCAUUGAAGUCUGCAUGCACUCCAGAUAAGUCCUUCUUUCUCUUCCCCGAAAGUGACACCUCUUGUCUAAAUUCAUUAUCCAUUCCAUUGUUUGUUUUUAUUUGAAUCCUUUUCGAUCUAACUCUGUUCCAAACUAAGGAAAAGAUGGGAUGUCAAGACUGAUUUAUAGGGUUCUCAUUUGAUACGAGCUAAUAUGCAAAAAAGGCACCCAACCUCAGCAGGGGCAUCAAGUUGACCCCAAUUGGCCAUCAUAGCCGGUGUUUCGAAAUCAAAAGCUCAUAAAAAAAGGAAAUCAAAUUGAAGUGCCUAUAAGGGAAAAUGAAGUUAAAAAGGUUUAGUCCCACGUGGAUAAACGUUAUGGAAAUGUGUCAAAAGCCAAAGGUUCCCCAACGCUCUGAAAUUGAAUGCUUUGAAAAACAAAGAAUGUCAAAUGCACACAAAGGCAAAACAAAGAUUGAAAUGGUUAGGUCCCACGUGACCAACCGUUAUGGCAAGGUUUGGAGAAGCCAAAGGUUCUCCGGGGUCCGAAGUGCAAGCGAUAUUCAGGAAAUAACCAGUUGCAAGUGAACAUUAUCAUCAAAGAAGUCUGCGACAAUCAAGUGACUGAAACACCUAAGGUCGCAAAUGCAACCAUCAUUUCAAACUGACAAAUUGUUCUUUGUUUGAACCACAGGAAAUAGGUGUAAUCCAAAGCAACCUUGCAAGACGCAGGUACAACCAAAAAGAAAAUUAUGCGGAGACUAAAAUAGCUCUGCAGCAACAACCACUCCAAAAAAAGGAAGUCUUCUCCAAAUUCUUUCCUGCAUUUUACUCAUUCUCUUUAAAAAAUGAUGAAAAAUAAAGAAAAUUUAAAAUCAUGUUAGUAUAGGGUCUCCAAUCCCUAGCUGCAUUUUUAAACAUAGGGUCUCCACUCCCUAGUUGAUUUUAUUUUAGACAUAGGGUCUCAACUCCCUAGUCGUUUUUCCAACAUAGGGUCUCCACUCCCUAGUUGAUUUGAUUUUUAGACAUAGGGUCUCCACUCCCUAGUUGAUUUGAUUUUUAGACAUAGGGUCUCCACUCCCUAGUCUCUUUUCCNNNNNNNNNNNNNNNNNNNNNNNNNNNNNNNNNNNNNNNNNNNNNNNNNNNNNNNNNNNNNNNNNNNNNNNNNNNNNNNNNNNNNNNNNNNNNNNNNNNNNNNNNNNNNNNNNNNNNNNNNNNNNNNNNNNNNNNNNNNNNNNNNNNNNNNNNNNNNNNNNNNNNNNNNNNNNNNNNNNNNNNNNNNNNNNNNNNNNNNNNNNNNNNNNNNNNNNNNNNNNNNNNNNNNNNNNNNNNNNNNNNNNNNNNNNNNNNNNNNNNNNNNNNNNNNNNNNNNNNNNNNNNNNNNNNNNNNNNNNNNNNNNNNNNNNNNNNNNNNNNNNNNNNNNNNNNNNNNNNNNNNNNNNNNNNNNNNNNNNNNNNNNNNNNNNNNNNNNNNNNNNNNNNNNNNNNNNNNNNNNNNNNNNNNNNNNNNNNNNNNNNNNNNNNNNNNNNNNNNNNNNNNNNNNNNNNNNNNNNNNNNNNNNNNNNNNNNNNNNNNNNNNNNNNNNNNNNNNNNNNNNNNNNNNNNNNNNNNNNNNNNNNNNNNNNNNNNNNNNNNNNNNNNNNNNNNNNNNNNNNNNNNNNNNNNNNNNNNNNNNNNNNNNNNNNNNNNNNNNNNNNNNNNNNNNNNNNNNNNNNNNNNNNNNNNNNNNNNNNNNNNNNNNNNNNNNNNNNNNNNNNNNNNNNNNNNNNNNNNNNNNNNNNNNNNNNNNNNNNNNNNNNNNNNNNNNNNNNNNNNNNNNNNNNNNNNNNNNNNNNNNNNNNNNNNNNNNNNNNNNNNNNNNNNNNNNNNNNNNNNNNNNNNNNNNNNNNNNNNNNNNNNNNNNNNNNNNNNNNNNNNNNNNNNNNNNNNNNNNNNNGUCUUCACUCCCUAGUUAUUUUUUUUAACAUAGGGUCUUCACUCCCUAGUUGGCUUUAUUUUUAAUUUUUAGAUAUAGGGUUUCCACUCCCUAGACUCUGAUUUUCUCAGGGUGCACUAAUCCGGACCUUUUAUUGCUUUCAAUAAUGAAGUAGUAUAUCGUUUUGAUACAAAUAACUCACAAAAUUUUCCUUGGGAAAACUGGGACAGAAAAUUUCGUUCGUUUGUUUAUUUUGUUGUCCGAGUAGGUAUUACCUCGAGGCACGAGUUUGAGAUGACCAAAAGAAGAAGUCUCAAUCCAAGAUAAAGAAAAGAAAAGAAAAGUGAAUCCAAAAUGCAGAAGCGGAUGAACGGAUAUAGACUGCUCAGGACAUGACCGAAGUCAUGACCAUUGCAUUUCCCGUUUUGAUCUGAAAAGCCGAAAAAGAAUGAACUAGCACCUACAGCUAGCAAGUAUCAAGGUUCAGAUCAGAGUCUGCAUGAAGAACCAUUCAAGACUCAAGAUCAAGCUUCAAAAGACUCAUAGAUAGGAAUCUUGUAACUCGUAGCUAAUAGGCUUAGUUAGUCUUUUUUAUUUUGACUUUGGUGUAAUAAGAAGCUCAGCAAGAAGCAACAACAGUAACAACAGUGAAAUCAUAGUUUUUCGGUAGUCCCAGCUACCAAAAUUUCCAGAACUAUACUGACCUGAUUCCUUUAUAGCCAAGGAUAUGUAGGCAACCUCCGAAGCAAGGUUCGUUUAAACGUUUUCAAAAUGCUUCCCAUGGAGUAUCAGGUGGGCAAAAAUUGCUUAUAAUUGCUCACUUUAUCUUUGCCUGAAAACUCUUCAUGUUCUCGAGCAAAUAGGGGUAGCUGCGAGCACGCGAUUUUUGCUCGAUCAAAAUACUCCUACAAAAUCCACAAAAUAAAUCUUUCUAAUUGUUUUUGAUUUCAUAGAAUUUUAGGAAUUCCUUUCUAAUUGUUUGUUUGCAUUUAGUUUUAUUUUUGUGCAUAUUUAAUAUUUUAAAAUCAUGAAAAAUAAUAAUAAAAAAUGUUUAAUUCUUCAUGGCAUGGCAUCAUAUGUUUAAUUGUAUUUUUAGAACAUAAUUACCUUAUUAAAUAAAAAUUACAAAAAUACCAUAGUCAUGUUUACAUUUUAGCUUUCAGUUUUAAAUUAAUUAGGGUUAAGUUAAUUAAUUAUUUAAAUGUUAGAAAUAGAUAAUUAGGUUUGGAAAAUUAGACUUGAUUUAGGAAUUAAUUAGGUUGUUAAUUAAUUUGAUUAGGAGUUGAAAUCAAAGAAAGAAAAAGGAAGGAAAGAAAGGAAUAUUUUGUUUAGUCUUGUGCGGAAUUGAGCCAAAAGCACAAUUUCAGCGGCCCAAGUGCCCAAAGACCCACACUGCAAGGUCCAAUUACCACCAAACCCAACCCCGUCUAGCCCCAUUAAACCCAAACGGCCCCGUUUUGAUCUCUUCAAAUCCCCACCGUUCAUGCACCAGAUCCAACGGUCCAGAACUCAACACCCUUUUAGAUUUAAUUGUCUGAAGCCCUUCCUAACCCUAGAGACCCCAAAACUCAUCUCCCUCAUCUCUCUCUCAUGCCCCACCUUCCGUCGCUGCCAGAAAUCGCCCUAAGACGGCGGUACCACUCCAAACUCCCUCAAACUCAUAACCCAUACUCCUCUCCUCAUCCUCAAUCCAAAUCUACCAUCAAUUUUCCCAAAAGACCCACCAAAUCCUUUGAAUUUUAGAUCUAAAAAGUCACAAAAACCUAAAUCCACCCCAUUUUGAGUUUUCCCAAAUUUCGGCCUACCUGAGGUUUAUACCAACGCUGAUUGAACACUCUUGUUGAGAGUUAUCAAUUGGAGUCAGUUUUGGACCUAUUCUAGGCCACCACCAUGGAACCCCCAUAAUGUUGAUUUCUUUUGCCGGUAUAUGGCGAACAUCGUCACAUAUAGCAUUGGCUACGCACGAGUGUGGGCUAAUGCUCAUGUAACGAUGUUGGCUGUUAGCCGGAUGUCUUUUUCGGGCAACCUUGUCAUCAAUGGGUAAUCCUUCUUUUCAUUUCUUUGAUUACUGCCUAUUUUAGGUUAAUGGAUUGACAUUUUUGUGUUACAUGUUAUAGAUUAGGUUUAUUUCAAAUUAACAGCAUGCUUUUAGUUUGGCUUCAACUUUUGUUAAAUUAAUCAAUUGAUAGUUAUUUUAAGGUUGCAUCAAUAUGUUGAUUGUUAGUAUGUCUUCUCGUAUGUUUAGCAUGUUCUAGAUUAGUUAGGAUUUCAACUUCAUCAAUUAGGUUUAAUUAGUCCUCUGUGAUUAAUCCAAUAUUUUAAAAGCAUAGCAGUCAGUUUUAAUUAGGUUAAAAUGACUUUAAUUAGUUAAUUACACGUUUGAAUUAGUUUAAUCACAUAAAAUAAGUUAAAGUUUGAAUAUUUCUUGUUGUGCUGCGAUUUUUAAUCCAUCUAAUUUUUUAUGAUAGCUGUUUGUAAUUACUAAAAUACCAGGAGAGAAAAAGAAAUGAGAAAAUCAGGGAAUAUUAGUUUGGAAUUGCCUAGAAGGUUCUAGAAAUGGGGGCUAAAAUACAAUAAAUUGAAGGAAAUGGGUCAGAUUUGGUUUAAAAGAGGUAAUUUUCAAAAGUUAAAAAGAGUGAAAAUGAAAAAAAAAAACUUUUAGAAAGGGACAGUUGUCCAAAUCUGUUAGAAAAGAUGCUGAAAUUGGAUACAAUUGUCCAUUUUCUGGUACAAAAGAUGCCAAUUUCCUGAAAUUUAGGGAAGGUUGGCAGAUUCAUUUUGGUGUAAUCCCAUUCCCUCAUAAGGCAUAGGUAUUUUUCUAUAAAGGAACCUUUCUCCUCACACUCUAGGAGGUUUUUUUCAAGGACUGCACAUUCAUUCACUCAAAAAAGACACGAACUUUACACAUAAAUUCUCUAAAAUUCAGAAUUCCUCAUUUCAUUACUUCACUGAUUUUUACAUUGAUUUCUGAAAAAUCCAUUGUCUUUCACUUUCAUUUUUAGUAAAGAAAGUUUUUGGAAAACCAACUUUGGGAUUUCAGAAACAAAAAAAAAAAACAAAGGUUUUCAUCAACUUGCUUCACUAUCGGAUAGUUGUGUUUUUCAAGUUCUGAGUUUGAAGUUUGGUUGAGCUUCAUUUUCUGUGUUGGAUACUAUUUCAUUAAGUUGUAGUUGAUUCUGUUUUUAGCUAUGUUUCUCAAAUUCAGAGGCUUAUUUUCUUGUUGUUCUUUAUUGCUUGUGAGGUAUUACUCUUGAUCAAAUAAUGUAAACUUCAGUAUGUUUGAAUUAUGAAAUUGUUGUUUGUAGUAUGGUGAUUGUGUUUGGUGUUUAUCAAUCUGUGUGUGUUGUUUAAUUAUUGUUGGAAUGUGGCUAUGAUCUAUUAGCUGAAUUACUACAAUGUAUCGUGUUAAACAAUGACUAAGAUUCGUUAAUUUGAAGUUAUCUGCAGACCUGUAUGAAAUUACUCAUCUAUACAAUUUAUUCUUUAGCCAUAAAGUUUAUAGUUUGUUACCAUUUAGAAUUAGAAACUGUGAUAACCUACACUUGAUAAGGUGUUUGUUUAAGUUGUAAAAUUUUACUAGUGGUGAUUUUGGAUUUGCAUGCUAGCUUGAAAGUCUCGGUGAUGGAUGCACACAUAGCUCUAAUUCAGGUUUCAAUUGCCAAUGGGUUUGGCUAAACCAGUAGAUAUUAAAGCAUAAGAAGGAAACACCAAAAGUGUUUAGAUACUCCAGUGCAAGUGGUGUGUUGAUUUCAUCUUAAAGCUCUUAUCUAGUUCAAUUGUCAUGGUUGCUCUGUUUUCCGGAUCUAUGUAGUCAUUCAUGAAUUGUAAUUAGAGUAAUUGAAACUGUGAUUCAAGACAUGUAAUUAUUUAAUGCUGCAAAUGGGUAUUGUUUCUUUUUAGGCUUGUAUAAUUGUGUAUUGAAUAUGAUUUAAGGUUAGUUACCUUUUAUUGGGCAUGGCGUGGGCCAAUUGUGUAAAAGAAUGUUUGGCCAAGGGAAGAAAUCAUGUUUCCAGUUGGUUAUUGGAAUUUUAUUAUUCACUUGGGCUCCAUUUUGAGCCCAGUGUCAUGUGCUGAUGCUUUUAAAAAGGAAUUAGCACAUUUGGGCCUCACCUAAAAAUCCACAUGCAAUUUGCUUAGCCCAUCAGAGGUCCUUCGCCAAUGUCUAAUGAAAUUGAACCCAUAUUUGUUUAAUUUUCCAUAGAUCACGACUUUACCAAUAAUCUCAAGUUAGAAUAGGUAAUAAAUCACAAAUAUUCGUAGAAAUGCUUUAGGCGCGUUCUUUAUAUUACUAUCGUGAUUGUGUACACGUUCGCGUGACUUUGGCCAAACAAUCUUAAAAACAAUAAAGUGUUAUUAGUUGUGUACACGUACGCGUGACAUGACUUUGACAUACCAAAACAAGACGAAUACAAGUACGUGUGAUUCGAAUAAUCGAGUAAUUAAAAGUGGUAAAAGGUAAAAAAAAAUACACAUAGGUUCUAAAAGUAAGUAAUUAAACAAAUUAAUUAAGCCAGGUAUGAUUAAAGCGACCGUACUAAAACCACGGAAUUCGUAUAUGCCUAACACCUUCUCCCGGGUUAACAGAAUUCCUUACCCGGUCUUUUAUGUUGGCAGACUUUAAAACAGAGUCAAAUUUUCUUGAUUUGGGAUUUAAAAUAAAUCGGUGACUUGGGAUACCAUAAUAAUUAUUCCAAGUGGCGACUCUUAAAAUCAAAUAAAUAAUCUCAUUUCGAACAAUGUCGCUUUAAUUAGAAAAACUCCCUAUCCCUAUCGGAAAAAAGGAGGUGUGACAAUCAUGGCGCGAAUCUCUCUCGAUGUCGAUUAUGGAUCAACAAUUACGGGAAAAAGAAGAUUUUUACCUUUUUAGACUUUUACUAGGACUGAAACUCUCCUACUAUAUAAAGGGAAAGUUUUUCUUUAGUCAGACAUAUUGUAACACGCAAUUCAAAGAAAUUAAAUUUUAUUUUUUCCUUCUAGCUACUGUUAAAGACUUUGCUCACUUGUUCUGUUGUUCAUUCAUGACUGGGGUCAAACCGAGAGUCCAAUCGAGGACGAGAUCACUGUUUAAUCUAAGUUCAGGCUUGGUCAUAACAUUGCGAUUGGUUUAUUCGUUUAUUUUGUCUCUAAUUUAUCUAAUAUUCUUAAUUAUUCGUGUUGAAUUAAACCAUGUAUCCUUUAAACUGCAUACAAAUUUAAUUGUUACCCAAUUUUUGGGUAAACAGUUUGACUCCCACGGUGGGACUAAGAAUAAUAGUGGUGAUUUGAUACGAAUCUACAUAACGUACCCUGUUUUAUGCUUGUUCUUUGAAAUCUUAAUCUCAAGUAAGUUUUAAAAUGUCAAACUCGUAGUCUUCUCACUUGAACGUUGACGAUGAGUCUACUUGAACGUUGACGAUGAGUCUAGCCAUCACAACGAAAAAUAAUAAUUUGGUGCCCAACAACGAUGUUCUUCCUGCCGAUCCCAAUGGUGUCCCAGCUGCCGACCCGGUCGAUGCUAACUUGCAGGUGGCCAUCAACAUCAAUUUUCCAACUGAUCCCAAAUAUAGCGUUCAUUGGGGACCCUGACCACCAGCUCAAGAAGCGCCUGAAGGCGAAGGUGAUGGGGUGAGCCUAUGGCUGAUUUUCGAAAUGUUGUAGGCUCAACAAGCGGCAAUAGCACAGUUGCAGAAUCAAAGUCACGCCCCCAACAGGGUCGAGCCCGAACAAUACCAGGAAAGCACUCAAAGAGAUGAGCAAAUUACUGAGAGACCGGGUGAAGUCGAGCCCGGGGUAAAUCCCGAGGUAAUGAAAAUGCUAGAAGUGUUGACAAAACGGGUGGAGUCAGGUGAGAAAAAGAUUAAGGCUAAUGACAAGGCGGUGAAAACAUACAACUCCAGGGGUUUCGUAUGCCCGACAACUCCAGGAUAAUGACCAGACUCCAAAAAAUCUAUCCAGAAGCCCUUUCCUCCGAUAGCGGCACCAAAGCCAAUCUCGAAGAGGUUUCGUAUGCCCGAGAGCAUGUGACCUCCUAUACAUGUGUAAUCAAGGGAAACGAUUUAGAAGAUGAUGAGAUCGAGUCAAUAUUACAGAAAAAGUUUGGGGAGACUUUGUCCAAGGGAGCAAGGAUAUGGUAUCACAACUUGCCCCCAAAUUUUAUUGACUCGUUUGCUUUGCUUGCAGAUGCUUUCAUAAAGGCCCAUGUCGGGGCCAUCAAGGUCGAUACCAGGAAGUUAGAUCUUUUCAAGGUGAAAUAAAGGGAUAAUGAGAUGCUCGUGGAGUUCGUGUUAAGAUUUCAGAUGGAACGGAUGGACCUAUCAACUGUUGUAGAUGAUUGGUCCGUUUAGGCAUUCACUCAGGGGCUCAACCACCGAAGUUCCUUGGCCUCUCAACAACUAAAAUAAAAUUUGGUGGAGUACCCGGCAAUAAUCUAGGCCGACGUCCACAAUAGGUACCAGUCAAAGAUCAGGGUCGAGGACGACCAACUCAGGGUCUCUUCUGAAUCUGUUUACCCCAUCAGGGCCGAUGAUUGAUCUAAGAGAGCCAUUGAUCAAGAUCCAAGACCGUUACGAGACCGGUAUUAACCUUACAGUACGUACCGAAUGGGAAAUGGGUUCGGGUGUCUCCCCGUAAAGAACAACAGGCCGAGGUCUGAUGAGCAAGAAUGGAUUCGACAGGCCGCUCAGGAGUAGGGAAUCACCAAUAUUAUCGUAGUACAACUUCAACAUGGACAUUGCCAGCAUCAUAUAAUCUAUAGGGUGCAUCAAAUAGACCAUGUGGCCCCGACCAUUUCAGUUUGACCCUACCAAGAGAGAUCCUAAUUUGAUGUGUAAGUAUCACGGUACUCAGAGUCAUAGGACCGAAGAUUUUCGAUAGUUAAGAGAAGAAGUUUCUCAGUUAUUCAACAACGGGCACCAUUAAGAAUUCCUGAGUAAGCGAUCCAAAAACCACUUCAUAAACAGGGACGCCAACAAACAGGUCGAACAAGAGGAGCCGUACCAUGUGAUCAAUAUGAUCAUUAGGGGAAUCGAAGUCCCCCAAGGGACAAUGAUAAAAUGCACUAAACUAUUUAUUAUUAUUCCCGGGAUUAUAUUCCGGAUGGAGCCAUUUCAUUCAGCGACGAAGAUGCUAAGGGCAUCGUGCAACCUCACAACAAUGCACUAGUAAUACUCGUACUUAUCAAUAAAUCUCGAGUUAAACGUGUGUUGAUUGAUCCAGGUAUAUCGGCCAACAUCAUCAGAUCAAGGGUCGUAGAGCAAUUGGGGUUAUAGGACCAAAUCGUACCAGUGAUCCGGGUAUUGAACGGAUUUAACAUGGCAUGUGAGACCACGAAAGGAGAGAUAACAUUGCUAGUAAACACCGCCGGGACAACCCAAAAAAUGAAGUUCUACGUAAUCGAAGGGGACAUAAGGUACAACGCUCUAUUCGGAAGGCCAUGGGUCCACAACAUGAGGACGAUACCCUCGACCUUACACUAGGCGUUAAAAUUUCCCACACCGAGGAGAGUCAAAAUGGUCUACGGAGAAGAGUCAGCCAUAAGGGAGAUGUUUGUUGUCAACGAGAUAAUUCCGAUGCCCGCGGUUUCAACAUCAGGGAACACAGAACCGACCAAAAGGGAAGAGAUUAAAUAGCAAUCACUGAUACCUGCCUCAGUCGAACUGGAGAAACAGAAAGAACGAGGAGCAGACGAUGAAGAUGAUUACAACAUCCCGAGAUCAUUCAUAGCUCUUGAUGACACCGAUGCCACCAAAUCAAUGGUUGAAGAGUUGGAGCAAGUCAUAUUAAUCGAACAUAUACCGGAUCAAAAGGUAUACUUGGGCACGGGGUUAAGCCAUGAGCUUAGGAAAAAACUUAUUAAUUUUCUUAAAGCUAACGUCGAUUGGUUCGCUUGGUCCCAUCAUGAUAUGACAGGCAUCCCAUCGGAGGUAACCACUCACAAGAUGAGUUUGGACCCAAAGUUCCAUCUGGUUAAGCAGAAGAGGAGACCACAGUCUGAGAUCAAACAUGCGUUCAUCAAGGACGAGGUAUCCAAACUUCUAAAAAUAGGAUCCAUCCAGGAAGUUAAAUACUCGAAUUCGUUAGCUAACGUAGUGGUAGUACCUAAAAAGGAAAUAAACUAAGGAUGUGUAUGGAUUAUAAAGACCUAAACAAGGCAUGUCCAAAGAAUUCUUUCCCUUUGCCUAACAUCGAUCGAAUGAUCGACGCAACGGUCGGGCACGAGAUACUCAGUUUUCUCGACACCUACUCCGGGUACAACCAAAUUCAGAUGGACCCGGAUGAUCAAGAAAAGACUUCUUUCAUAACCAAAUUCGGCAUAUACUGCUUUAACAUGAUGAUGUUUGGAUUAAAAAACACCGGUGCAACCUACCAACGCCUUGUAAACCGGAUGUUCGAAGAAUAAAUAGGGAAAUCAAUGGAAGUUUAUAUUGACGAUAUGUUGGUCAAGUCCCUAUGAGCAAAGAACCAUUUGAAACAUUUAUAGGAAACCCUCUACAUAUUAAGGAAAUACAACAUGAAGCUAAACCCGGAGAAGUGUGCAUUCAGGGCCGGUUCGGGUAAAUUCCUUGGGUUUAUGGUAUCCAAUCGGGGAAUAGAGAUCAACCCCAACAAAAUAAAGGCCAUAAAGGACAUCACCGUAGUAGAAAACAGCAAGGCGGUUCAUAGACUAACCAGACGUAUAGCCUCAUCGAGCUGGUUCAUCUCGAGGUCCUCAGACAAGAGCCAUCGAUUCUUCUCACUAUUUAAAAAGAAGAAGAAUUUUUCCUGGACUCCGAAAUGCCAGCAAGCUUUGAAAGAAUUCAAACGGUACUUGUCGAUCCCUCAUCUACUGCACACUCCAAAGGCAGACGAACAAUUGUACCUCGAUUUGGCGAUUUUUGAGUUGGUGGUAAGUGGUGUCUUAGUCCGGGAGAAAGAAGGUACAAAAUUUCCUAUUUACUAUGUUAGCAGAACCCUAGGUGAUGCCAAAUCGAGGUAUCCUUACCUAGAAAAUUUAGUGCUCGCUUUGCUAAGUGCUACCAGGAAGCUAAAACCGUACUUUUAAUGCCACCCCAUAUAUGUCAUAACCUCUUACCCACUAAGGAAUAUCAUGCAUAAGCCUGAGAUCUUGGGCCGGUUGGCCAAAUGGGCCGUGAAAAUUAGAGGGUACGAUAUCGAGUACCGACCUCGAACUGCCAUAAAAUCUCAAAUUUUGCCAGACUUCAUGGAUGACUUUACGCCGACCUUAAUACCCGAAGACGAAAAAGAAUUACUGCUCACCUCGGGGAAUAAUUUAGGAAUCUGGACCCUAUUCACGGAUGGUGCCUCCAACGCGGAGGGCUCCGGACUUUGUAUCGUGUUAAAUCCACUAGUAGGAAGCAUAAUUAGACAGUCUAUUAGAACUAUGAAAUUGACUAACAAUGAAGCCGAGUAUGAAGCCAUGAUUGUAGGUCUAGAACUGGCUAAGAGCCUUGGGGAUGAAGUGAUCGAAGCAAAAUGCGACUCCCUCCUCGUCGUAAAUAAAGUCAACGGAACAUUCGAAGUAAAAGAAGAACGGAUACGAAGGUACCUGGACAAAUUGCAGGUGACCCUACACUAAUUCAAGGAAUGGACUCUGCAGUAUCUGCCCCGAGAUCAAAACAGUGAGGCUGACGCACUGGCUAACUUGUGGUCAUUUGUCGACUCCGAUGAAUUCAGCUUGGGGCAGUGGUAUAACUAAUGAACUAGGUGAUAGAAGAAGGUCACGCCGAAGUAAACUCAACGAGUUUGACUAGGGAUUGGAGAAACAAAUACAUAGACAACUUGAAGACAAGAAAAUUGCCUUCGGAUCCCAAGGAAUCAAGAGCCCUUUGCACCAAAGCUGCCAGAUUUAGCUUAGUCGGAGGGGCAUUGUUUAGGAUAUUUUCUUCACCACACUUUCCAGAUGCUUAGGGUCGGUGGAGACUGAAUAUGCCAUCAGAUAAGUUCACAAGGGCACUUACGGGAACCAUUCGGGAGCAGAAUCCUUAGUUUGGAAGCUAAUCAGAGCUGGCUACUACUGAAAUGAAGUGGAGAAGGAUGCAAAAGACUUCGUGCGAAAAUGCAACGAGUGCCAAAGAGACGCCCUAACGAUUCAUCAACCAGGAGAGAUGCUCCAUUCGGUCCUGUCACCAUGGCCGUUUAUGAAGUGGGGAAUGGACAUCGUCGGACCCUUGUCAUGGGCACCCGGUAAAGUUCAAUUCAUACUAUUCAUGAUCGAUUAUUUUUCCAAAUGGGUCGAGGCUCAGGCGUUCGAGAAGGUCCGAGAAAAAGAAGUCAUCUACUUCAUAUGGGAUUACAUAAUUUGUCGAUUUGGGAUAUCGACCGAGAUCGUUUGCGACAAUGGAAAGAAAUUCGUCUGCAACAAGGUAAGUAAGUUUUUCAAAGACCACAAGAUCAAGAAGAUAUUAUCAACACCUUACCACCCUAGUGGGAAUGGGCAAGUAGAAUCGACGAAUAAAACCAUACUCUAAAACCUGUAAAAGAGGCUGACCGAUUCGAAAGGAAAAUGGAAAACAUCUUACCCGAAGUCCUAUGGGCAUACCGUACGACUUCGAAGUCGAGUACCGGAGCGACCCUUUUCUCUCUGGUCUACAGAGAAGAAGCCUUAAUACCAGUCGAGGUAGGGGAACUGAGCCUCGUGUUCUAGUAUGCUACCGAAAAGUCAAACGGCGAGGCCAUGGACACGAGCCUGGAAUUAAUGGACGAAAGGAAGGAAGUCGCCCUGGUUCGGUUGGCCGCAGAGAAGCAACGAAUAGGGAGGUACUACAACCAGAGAACUAACCUCUGGCAUUUUCAAGUCGGGGACUUGGUACUGAUAAAGGUAACACUACACACCAAGAACCCAAACAAAUGGAAACUAGGCCCGAAUUGGGAAAGACCGUAUCGAGUUGUCGGAAUAACCGGCAAAGGCUCAUAUAAACUCAAAUCGGGAAAUGAUGUAUAACUACCAAACAAAUGAAAUGUGGCACACUUAAAGCGAUACUACUGUUAGGUACGAACUUAAUUCCUUUUUAAUUUUAUUACAUUACGGACUAACGUAUGCAGGUACUCGGCCAGGGGCGAACGCGACUAGGUCAGAAAGCACGUGUUAUACUCUUUUUCCCUUGAACCGAUUUUGUUCCGAAGUUGGUUUUUCAGCAAGGUUUUAAAUGAGGCAACAGUAAAAUGUGCUACCUUAGUUUUGAAGGCUGGCCUUAGACCGGAAUUGAUGAUAGAUUACACCUAAUCAAUAGUAUCCGAUCCCUCGCAAGUUCGGCCUCGAAUACUGGGGGUCAUUACCCCUAAAUUAAGAUCUUUAGCAAGGGAAAAGAAAAUUUUAUAUGUCAAAAGCCAAGACUUGGUGGUUAGGAUUCAUUGUAAGGGUCAAACGGUCAUGUGAACCAUGCCCAUAUAAUCCACUAUAACCACAGCACAAGGCUUAUGCGCCUCCGAUCAUGUACGUUACAUAUUAAACAAUGAAAAAAAUCUCUGCUUCCAUUAUACUUUAUUACUGCACAGUUCACUUCUCCGAUACUGAAUCCUAAAGCCCAUGGGCUACCCCUACUCGGGGACUAUCGAUCGAUAAAAAUUCAGACAACCCGAGCUACAGAAUCCCCGAGGCACCAAGCUUUUUAGGCAUGCUACGGCCGCCCUAAAAUUGGCUCGGAGUCGUCCGAAGUCCGUACUCAGAAAAGCAUUUAAAGCAUUUAAAACGUUACCCUCAGCAAAAGCAUCGUCUAAGACACUUAAGCAUCUUAAAAGCUUUUGAUCCUAUCAAAAUAUCGAAGCCACGAGUAACCCGGAGUUUCCACUAAAAUCGGGACACAUUCGAACCUCCGAAUGAACGGAUACUCUAGAUUACAUUUGACUUUAUGCUAAAGCAUUUAAAACGAUGCGCAAAUAAAAAAAUUACAAAUAGAUGCAGGAAAGUAAAGGUACGGCAUUGUCAAAAAGGGUUUUUUUUUUUAUAUAUUUCAAAAAAUAAUUACAAAGGCACGAUAAAACGGUCUCAAAAUAAAAACAAAAUAUACAAGGGAAAACUAAAAAAGAACAAAGGCAUUUACGCAUGGUCUUCAUCGGGGCUCGACUCGUCACCAGAAUCGUCGAAACCCUCGGAACCUUCGGAGCCUUUGGGACCCCAGGCUCAUAGAGUUCUUUUGCCUCGGCCUCAAGUCUCUUGGCUUCCUCAAUCUCGGCUGACAAGUCAACACCUCGGGCAUGGAUCUCCUCGAGGGUUUUUCUCCGGGAUAGCUGCUUUACAUGCUCAGUCCUCAUCUUUAAGAGGGCCUCAGCUAUCUCUAAUCAGCCUUAUACUAGGCCAGCAUUUCCUCGGGCAUCGUAGGAAUAAAUAGAAGUUGCCUCCAACUUGGACCUCCACGCGUUAUAUUCUUGGCCGAGGGCAUCUCAUUCCGUGAUGGUUGAGUUCAGCUGUGCCCGGAGUUCAUCCUUUAGCCGAGACCACUUAUCGGCCUUGUCCUUUGCCACUCGAAGUUGGUACUUGACCGAUGUCAGCUCCGAUUUUGUAACCUCUUUUUUCGAAGCCAACAUGUCCAUCCUGCCCUUCCAUACCUCGGUCGUGGCCUUGACCUCAUCCAUCUCAGCCCGAAGCUGGUAGAUCAGGUUUAUCUUCUCUUGGACCUGCAAAGUUGUGUUGUUAGUCACCACGAGUAGAUUCUCAUUUUUAGCCUCAAAGAUCCUUACCUUCUCAACCAGAUCGGCGUGCUGCCACUUCAAGUUCGAGGCCUCCUUCUGGGCUUUUUCCAGCUCGGCUCGGAGAAUCGGGAGGUCUUUGAGGGCCUCAUCUUGUUGUUCAUUAAGAGCCAUGUACAUGUCCUUCUUCUAGACUUGCUCUUUAGGCUCAAACUCGAGCUGGCUGAUCUCCAAGCAGGACCAAAGGAAGCUUUCAUGAUGAAAUAGUGAAGCCUGAAAAAACAAUGAAGUCAUUAGAACAUUUCUAAAACUAAGCGCAAUUCGCAAGGGGUACGAAGGAUAAACGUCUCACCAGGCUCAACGCUCGUUGCACCUCGUUGAAGAGGAUCAACAUUCCUACUUUGUUCAUCUUUGCAUGGUCCUUCUCGAUCACCAGGCAACGAAGGUAGCUGGCCAUGCCCACCGGAGCAGACAACUCCCGGGCGUCUGCUGGGAUAGUGAGAACGACCAUUCUCUUACGGUCGGGGUCCACACUCGGGGCAGGGAACUGCUUCACUAGUUUAGGGCUCGGGCUCGACUCGCCCGCUCCCGAUGGCACAUCCUUUUUUGGGACCUCCGGGUGACCAAGCCCGAAAAAGUCCUCCAAUGCGUCCAUGUCCAUGCCAUCGAAGAUCGUGUUGAGGGCAUCAUCUGGGCGCGGUGCCGUCUCGUUUGAUUUCUCUUUGCCCGCUUGAGCCUCUCCGAGAAUGGACUCAGUGUAGGAUGAUGUAUCCAUGAUGUCAAUGACACCAGCUACCUCCUUCGGUACAUGAGCGGCUUUUUGGGAGGCCGCGACCUCCGUCUCUCCCUCUAGUUCCCGAGCUAGGGGGAUCGGCCUUGUGGUCAGCUUUCUUGGAAGCGGAGGGUUCGGCGAGUGAGGACGGAUCCUCAUCGAAUGGCCUGAGCUCGGUGGUCUUGGGCAAACCUGUGAGAAUGAAGAAGACUUAGCAAUAUAUAAGUCGAGUGCGUGAAUGUAAUCAUUCGGGGGGAAGCCUCACCAUGAGAACGGACCUCUCACUUACCCUUCAAGAGUUUGUGUCAUGCGCUCGAAGUAGGACAUAUAUUUGCAGAUCCCCUUGAUCCACUCCUUGAAGCGGGGGACUACAUUAGGAAUCUAGGCAACCGCUGCAUGACGACAAACACAGGCAAUUAGGAAAAGAAUAAAAGGAAAUGCCAAAUACUCGAAAAGGAAAAGGCUUACGAGAUGCGUUCCACUUUUCCGGGAAUGGCAGAAAUUCAGAGGGGAUGAGAUCUUCGAUUUUCAUCCGAACGAACCUCCCCUGCCAACCUCGGUCUCGAUCAUCAUCGAUGCUCGAGAACAGAGCCUUGUUCGGUGAACGAGCUUGAUCAACUCGCCUCGGAAUAUUCAGGGACUGUAUAGACGAAGCAGAUGGUCAAGGGUGAAUCGAGAUGCUUCGGUGUUGUUUACAAAGUGUCGGAGGAGGAUUACGAUCCUCCAAAAUGACGGGUGAAUUUGUCCAAGGCAGACCGGUACCUUUUGCAGAAUUCGAGGACUAUGGGGUCCACCAAGGCGAGUGUGAAGGGGUAAGUGUAAAUACUUAGGUACCCCUCCACGUGAGUAGUGAUGUAUUCGUUGGGCCCGCGGACGACCACCUCAUUGCCCUCCCAGUACAGUCUACCUGAAAUAUGGGUAGCGUCUCCGCAGUACCGGAGUAUAUGUACCUCUGUGCUCCCUCGCCUCGGUCUUAUUGAUUGGAAGCCUUCUCGACGUUGAAAUCCUUCUCGAUAGAGCAUCCCUCGAGGACAAAGAUCUUCAAGGGAGGCUCUUGGGCCACCUCAGGAAUGGCUACCUCGGCGUCUGUGGCCGGGUUAGAAGAUGAAUGGGGAAUUUACUGAGGCACGUAUUUGGAAGUUUGUGCCAUCGGGUUCUGGAAAAUAUAAAGGUUUGAAGAAAAAAUAUGAAGAUUUGAAUAUAGAAUGAAGAUAUGAAGGUGUAGGUUGAAGAUUCAACAAGAAUGUAUGAAGAUUGAGGAUGAAGGUAUAAAGAUCUAAUGAGAAAUAUAUGAAGCUUUGAAGGAGUUAAAGGUAAGUAAAGAUUUCGAGGGUAAAUCAAAGAGCUCUAAAAUCGGAAAGUGGAGAAGUGGAAAAGGGGUCGGAGCUUUUAUAGAGGAAGGACAAUCAAUGUGUGAUGUUUCACAUUCGAGGAAAGUCAACCGGCGGCUGGCACGUGUCCGAAGUCAGAACGACGCGACUGAUGGGACAUUUCGUUGACCCGUCAUCUCGGUUGUAAUGUACGAAGGAAGGAACCGAGGUCCAUUUAUCGCUUUCCGUCAUUUCGAUAAACCUACUCUUCGAAAAACGAGGGGACUAUCUAUGUACGGGUAAAAACUUGGAGAAUCCAUAUGCAUAUUUCAAGUUGUUAGAGUGUUUUUGCAUAUGGAAGGUGGUCCACUUGUAUCUAAACCAAAAAGAUAAGCAACGGAAUAUUGAAAAGUUCGUUCUUAUUCUACCUCCCUCUCAUCUCUACUUGGAAUGUCUUGUCUAUUCUUUUUGGACUCCUCAAUGCUUACAAUAACUCUUGCUACUUGUAGUAGCUAGGUUUCUUUUCUUUUCUUUUUUUUCUUUUUGUUUUUUCAAGAUUCCAUAUAUUCUGAACUCACUUAUUCGAUGAUAAAUCUAGAUAAUCUUCGAACAUUUUGAAUUCUAAUUGGAGGCUACUUUCAUAAUGGAACGGUUACAUAUGCAAUUUGGCCAACAAUUGAAGACUAUAUUGUAUUUGGUGGCUAUACUUGUAAUACUUAGCUUCCUAAAUAAAUAUCCCUUAAUACUAGUAUUCCUUAUUUUUCUAGUUAGUUCUUUGCUAUUUUCUAUCUUUUUAUCAUUUUAUUUGUGCUCUAUUUAGUUUUUGCUUCCGCGCUCAUAUCAUCCGACCAGUUCAUAUUUAUGCCGUAAAAGUUCACUCAAGACUCAAGAGGUUUUAGAACUCCCUAUAGAAGAGCUCAACUUGAGACCUCUAGCUAUGUGUAAAAGAAUUUAAUCACUUUAUUAAGGAUUUAAAAAAAGCAGCUCAGUGCAUAAUGCUCCCGCUAUGUGCAGGGUCGGAGGAAGGACCGAACCAUAAGGAUCUAUUAUACGCAGCCCUAAUUAUCCUGUAUUUUUGCAAGAGGUUGUUUUCACGGCUCGAACUCGUGACCUCCUAAUCAUAUGGCAUCAACUUUAAAAGUUACGCAAAAGCUUCAUUCAUUCUUCAAAUAACAAGAAGGAUAACAUUACUGAGGAUGGGACAUGUACAAGAACAAAACCGAACUACAUUUCCUUUAACAUUUCUCUUCAUUCAUUUUCCUAACCUUUUCUUUUGGUCUUUGAGAAGAAUUGUUAGCUAAAUUUUGGAAACUAAAAAAGACUACCUAAAAGCCCUUAAUAACCAAUUAAUUCAAAAAUAGAUUGCUAGAUUGAGAUUUUCCAAUAUUCAAUCAUGACAUAUGUUUAUUCAAGUAAUGCUAAUUAGGUCUGCAGAAAAGUAGAACACACCACUUAGUGCCGGAUAUUUUCACCUCUAAUCAUUAUAAACAUUGAAAAAUCAAACAGAUAAAAAAAUACAUAAUAAAGGGGAAACAAAUCCUCCUCUUUUUCAAAACUUUUUCCUUUACACUCCCUACAAAAACUUAUCAUUUGUAUAAUAACCUAUUGACGAUAUUGUAUAUAUAUUAAACAAUUCAUUAAAUAUAUACAAAUAUUUAACUCUAAAUUUAUAAAAACUCUUAAACUUUAAAUUCUAAAUCAGCCUCUACUCGUUGUUGUUUGCAGAAGUGAUCAAUAAAGAUGUUUUCCAAUCUUUCCCUCUUCUUCACUCUUCCAAAUUCCAUAAAUCUGAAUUCUUUGACAAAUUCUGGCCAUUGGAAUUCUUGAAAUUCAUUAUCAUAAUUUUAUCUUUGAUAUCUCCAAAGCCUUGAUCACCAGCCGAAACAAAAAAUAAGAAUAUACCCGGUAUAAUCUCACAAAUAAUAUCUGAAAAUGAUAUAUAUGUGUGCACAAAGCUUGUUUUCAAUAGACCCUCGUCUCAAACAAAGCAUGGUCAGCAGCUGAAACAAAGCUUUACCCAUUUGAAAGGGACGAAAAAACAACAUCUCUGAAGUUUCUUUUUUCACAAAUAUUCACAAGAAAUGAUUGAAUUAUUUGCAAAUCAAUCAGCUACAGAAUGACUUUGCCAACACAAAAGCAUGAUGAUACAACGUUUAAGGAUGUAGAAUCUUGUUUUCUGUUGCUUUACCAUAGUCAACGACCGUUGUCGGAAAGUAGAUUUCCGGCAGGUUUUCCGACGAGACUCCGACGAGGGAAAGAAGUAUGAAAGGGUCAUUGUGUUUGGCGGCUUUAGAUGGAAGUUUGUUUGAAGAAGGAAGAGUGAACAAUUAAUUUUGGUAGUUAUAUUUAUAUAAGCUAAGAUUUCAGCCACCUCGGUCCCAUCGGAGAGUUUUUUUAUUUUUUCUUCUUUUUUCAUGGUCCCAUUCCCACCCACGGAAAAGUUUCUUCUUUUCUUUUUCUUUUUCUUUUUUAAUAAUCUAGUUUUUAUUUUUACGGCAAAUGGCCAAAUAUACCACUCUACUUUCGAAAAUGAUCUAAGAAUACCUCUCGUUAUACUAUUGGAUUAUCU
Molecule: long non-coding RNA, 68624 nt
Filed under: Nicotiana tabacum (common tobacco)
Lineage: Eukaryota; Viridiplantae; Streptophyta; Magnoliopsida; Solanales; Solanaceae
Description: long non-coding RNA (NTAB_LNC002886)
Source: RNAcentral